Molecule: long non-coding RNA, 56286 nt
Filed under: Cucumis sativus (cucumber)
Lineage: Eukaryota; Viridiplantae; Streptophyta; Magnoliopsida; Cucurbitales; Cucurbitaceae
Description: long non-coding RNA (CSAT_LNC000685)
Source: RNAcentral
GAGAGAGGGAGAGAGAUGGUUAGCGGAAGGGGGAAAAUCGAAGAGGGGGACGUGUGGAUCUUCCACAGAGAAGAAAAGAAGAAGAGAAGAAGAAGAGAAGAAGAAGAAGAAGAGGAGGAGGUAGAGAAAGAGUUUUGGAGAUGUUUUAUUUUAAUAAAUAAAUUAUUUAAUGUUUUUAGAAUUAGGAAAAAAUCUGAUUUUAAUAAAUUUUUAUUUAAAAUAAAUUUUAUUUUAAUAAAUUAAAUAAAUAUUUUUUGUAUUUUAUGACAUCAAAUAACUGUUGCGGAAAGUAAAAUCCGAAAAAUUCCGUCUUUUUCCGCCAAAAACGCGGUUUUUUAGCUUUUGUGACAGUUUUUUCUUUUCUCCUUUCAAUUUGGGAUGUAUACAACUGUCAUAGUAGACCACUUUUCUACUAGUGCCACCACCCAAAAUUAGAAUAGAUCAUAAUUCUAGCCCAAAUUUCAGGUCAAUCAAUUUCAAAUUUAUAAAUUUUAAAAUCCAAAACAUAUCAUCAAGCAAAAUUAUUUUAUUAUUAUUAUUAUUAUACAUAUGAAAUAUCAAUAAAUAAAUCAUUCUUCGGGAAACAGUUAAAAAUAGAAAAGCAUUUACACUUGAAAAUGACAAAAUACUCUCCAUUCUCUAUUUGUCAUCUUUUAUUUAUAACAGCCUUAACAUUAAUAUCUAAUUUUAAUAAAUACCUAUUAUUCUCUAUGCUCUAUGAUUUCAUUGUAUUAUUUGUCUUGUCUUGGACAAGUUUGCACGGUGCUUUCUCUAUUAUUUUCUGAGUUCCCAAUCCUUCUUCUUGGGACGUGGCUCCGACCACAUAGAAGUGCUCUAGGAGCUAGUUGUGGAUUGAAUCAUGGGGUUUUUUUUUUCUCUUUGUAACCAUUAAAAUUUAGUAGAUUCAAACCUUCAAUCUCUAAAAUAUAAUAUUGAAAGAGCCUAAGCUUGCCAUUUUGAAAAAUGGACAUUUAGCAAAUCUAAAAAUAAACUUAAAAAUAAUAAACAAACCUUGGUUAGAAUUCUCGUCUAAGUGAAACGUUGAGGUAUAUUGUUUCCCCAUUUUAACAAAUACUUACUUAAUUAUUGAACCUUAAAAUUUGGACUUAGAAAAUGGAUGGUUAUAACUAAGCAUCUUUAGUUUACGGAUUUGACGAAAAAAGUGGAAUUGGGAUUGGAUACGAAAAUUAUAUAUAUGUAUAUAUUGAGUUAAUUAGUAGUCUUAUCUGUUAGAUUGCAUAUUAUGGCAAAUCAAGAGGUAGCAAACGUGGAAGUUGAGAUGAGAACUUCGGGAUUACGUAUUGUGGAAGUGAAGGAAGCAAAUAUAGAUUGUAUAUUCUGUCUUAUUUGUUAGAUUGCAUUUUAUAUAGACUGCAUGUUAGAUUGCAUUUUAUAUAGACUGCAUGUUAGAUUGCAUUUUAUAUAGACUGCAUAUUGCAUAUAUUAGGACAAUUCUGUCUAAUAGAGGCUGUUGGCACGUAAGAAAUUUUUACACCUAGAAUAAUUUAAAUGCAUGCAGAUUAGGUUUCGUGCUUGUGAUGCCAUUUUGGUAUUGGAUUGUUCACUUCUUUACAAGUUGGACGACUCUCCUACCACUCCCUUUAAUUUAUUCCCUUUAUCCUACCACUCCCUUUAUUCCCUUUAUCUCACUACAUGGAAUGCAACGUUUUUCUUCUCUACACUUCGUGACAUAAUGGUUAAUCUUUUCAUUUAUUUUUGUGUUAAAUUCUUUCUAGUUUUAUUUUAAUUUAGUUUUGCAAUAUGUGUGUUGGAGGGAGGAUGAUCAAAACUACAACACUAUACGCAUGUAUAUGCCCAUUUAAAUUUAUAUAUUUACUUGAUUUAAUUGUUUUUAAACUUACCAUACAAUACAGAAUUGAUACCAUAGCAAAUGGGACCUCACUUUCUUCUUAUUUCCAAGUAAAUAAAUAAAAAUAAUGAUCAAAUGUUAAAAUAAUACAAAUAUCGUCCCUCACUUUGUACAAUAGAUCCUAUUGUUGGGUCAGUUGCCAAAAUGUUGAUAAUUGGUUUCAUUUGAACAUAAGAAACCAAGAAAGGCAACAACAAAAAAAAUAUGUGUGUGGUUUCUUAAAUAAGACCAGACCCUUUUCUCUCUAUAAAAAAACUUACACCGAUCAUCAGUAUAACUCAUGUCUGUCUAGGCUAGCAACGCUCUAUCUAGGAAUCACACAACUACUCCAAGCACGGCUUCAUAUCAUUUAAAAUGACGAGCACAACGACGAAAAUGUGGUGUUCUGCAACUGAGGACAUGGUGUAGGAAAGACUGAAGUGCUAAAACCCGAGACAAAAGCACAAUGCCAUUUUGCGGAGGGAGUGAGACCGAGAAUGGUCACAUUUUUCAUACAUACACCGUCAUAUGAUGUGCCUGCAAUCCCGUAAAGAACCGGAGCCUUUGUCGAAUUUAAGCUCAUGAGAUUGGUAAUGAAAAUGCCCUUCACUUUAGGAACUGCCUUUGGAUCAAAUUGUUCAUCAGGAUGGUCAUUUGAGCCCCUGCUAAACCUUAUAGCCAUUUUCACUCUGUUCAUUACAAAGUUAGUUAUACUAACAUUUGCAAUGUAUCCUCCUCUACCUUGGUCGGAUUUGAUUCGAAUGCCUGCUGCCGAAUCCCAGACGUUUAAAUCCUCAAUUGUAAUGUUUGAUAUUCCACCUGACAUCUCACUUCCUAUUCCAACACCAGAACAGGUAGGGGUGGUGCCAGAAACUCGCCUUAUGACGAUAUUUGAGCUUGGGCGUGCAAGGUUGAUUCCAUAUUGAUCCCAACCACUCUUCACUGCUACUAGAUCAUCUCCGCUUUCGAUAUAACAGUCCUCGAUACAAACAUUGGUACUAGAAUCUACACCAUAAUAAAGAUGCAUUUGGAAUUUAGAUAACUCCAGCAUUGUUUUACAUUUAUUUCUCAUACCUCCUAGCUCCAAGAAAGAAGCAAAAUACCUGGAUCGAUACCAUCUGUGUUCGGGGCAUUGAGCGGAGCCAAGAUCGUCAUGUCUUUGAUAACAACAUUGCUGAAAUCAAACAAAAGUUCAAGAACCAGUAUAUAAUUGCAAAGAGUAGAUAAUUAUUGAAAAUGAAACCUGCAAUAGACAGGAUGAAUUGUCCAAAAGGGGGAAUUUUUGAAGGUGAGAUUGGAAAUGAGAAUAUUGUGAGAGUUGAUGAGCUCUACAAGAUGGCCCCUUGUGUGAUUUAAUGUUCUAUUCCACCAAAGCUCCCACCACAUCUUGCCUUGCCCAUCAAUGGUUCCAUUCUCUCCUGAAAAAACAACAUAAAAACUCAAUAGAUUUUCAUGAUUAAGAACAUUCUCGAACCCGAGUGCCGUCAAAGCUAAAUGAGAAGAAGAGUUCACACUAGUUCCAGUUUCGAUGCACAAAGCUAAUGUAGAUCAAAAGAUAUGAUCCCAUUUGAUACUUUUUUUAAGGUAGGUAGAACUUCUUAUUCCUAGUUUUUAUCACUGGACUCUACUCAUAUUCUUUUUAGUUCAACAAUAUGUAACGGUGAGUUUCAAACAUAUGACAUUUUGGUCAAAUUUAUAUAUGUUUUAACUAAAUGAGCUAUACUGAUCACAUUGGUGACCUAGUGGUAUUUGGCUAGGGUAAAAAACAAGAAAAUCAAAGAAAGAAAAUGGGUAAGUCAAGUUAGUCUUAGAAGGUAGAUCUUAAGCUUAAAAUUGAAAUACCUAACUUUUCUCAUCUCAAGUGACCCCUUAACAUAAAAUACUAUAAUGAUCUUCUCCACAACCAAAAUGUACUAAAAGGUCAAGUGCCCUUACAAAAAAAACUCCUUAUUGCCAAUUUCACUUUUAAAAACAGUUGAAAUGGUAUACCAAGAUUCAGUUCUUUAUCAUUCCCACCCCAAACAUAAAAACACACCAUAGAAAAUAAAGCAUGAUAUCUUGAGAGAGAGAAAUAAUAUUCUUAGAUCCUAAAUCCCUUUUUUUAAUUUUUAACAUUAUCAUGGUUCCCUAGCUAAUUGCUUAGUCAUGAUCAAAGUUUGAUUCCAUUACUUUACAAAACCCAAGAUAAGAAUCCUCAUGAAUAUAAAAUCCUAGCAAUGAAGAUGAAGCCAAAAACAAAAACAAAAAAAAAACAAAAAAAGAUAAAGAAAAGUGAAAGCACCUGUAAUUACAACAUUUGAAAGGGCAUUGCCAUGAAUAAGGCUGAUGUGUCUUCCUCCCAAUCUCUCUCUUCCUCUUCCAUAAGAAGGAAGUGGCUCUAUAAUGGGCCACUCAUCUGGAUCCUUUUUUUUUUUUUUUAAUUUCAAACAAAUAUUUAAUCAAGUGCACACUAAACUUUUGACAAUAACAUGCCACCAUGAUUUCUAAAAGCAAAGAUUUAUCAAUUCAUAAUUAACAAAUUUGAUUUGAUAAUUUAUUUUACUGAUCAAACCAAAGCUUAUUCAGUUUCAAAUAAUACCCAACAAAAAAAAAAAAGUCAACCAGUUAUCAUAAAAGCUCUGUUUCAUUUACACACCUUGGGGGAAGGAAUCACACUUUAAUUUUAUUUUAUUUUUUCUAAGGAAUUUUGUUAAUGGGAAAUCCCAAACACUAAUAUAAAUUAGCUUCAAAAGCACUAAUGAAUGCAUUAAAUGAUAAUUCAUAGUGCCAAUAAAUCAUUAGCAUAUACAACCUUUUUUUCUCAUAAUUUCACUGCUUUAUUAUUAUUUAUUAUCAUUACUUUUUUGGUUACAUACAACUUUACUUGUUUUAUUGCUUUUUUUUUUCUUUAAAAAAUAAUAUUAUUAUCAAUUCACAUUUUCACUAUAAAUAAGUUCAGAUAUUACAUUUUUCUUGCAUGCAAAAAUAUUUAUUAUCUUAUUAUUAUUUAAUCAAUUUGGAUGGAAAUAUUGGAUAUAUAUAUAUAUAAAUAUGGUGGAUCCCACUUGCUAUGUUUUUAGGUUUAAAAAUGCAAUAAGAACUUAGGUGACACCGCCAGAGUCAUCACUCUGAUUUUACCUUUUCUGCUAAGUUAUGAAAUCCCAUUUGUCAUUUUCUUCUUCACCAAAAUCACAAAGAAUUUGUCCUUUCCAAACUCAUUAAAACAAUAAAAAUAAAAUUCCCCAACAGUUUAAAAGAAACACCACACAAAGUCUUAAACACAUAAAUAUUUAAAACAAAAAAACAAAUUACAAAAGACAAGCUUAAAAUUACCAUUUAAUUUUCUAAUAACUAUUUAGUUUAACCGUAAGUAAUUUUAGGGGUUUAGGGUAAAAAAGAAAAAAACUGACCUGGGAGGCUAAAAUAAGAGCGCCACGUUGGAGAAAGAGGGUAAAAUUACUGGUGAGAUUAAAGCUGCCCGUGACCCAACUGCCCUUAGGGACGGUCAGUUUAGACCCGCCUUUGUCGCCGAACCGCCGCAUGUACUGAAUGGCCUUCCGAAACGCUUCCGUGUUGGAAGUCUUUCCGUCCCCUACUCCUCCGAAAUCCGUGAUCGACAUGACAACCCCCGCCGUAGCAUCUGGGCGGAAGAAGGCGGAGCAGGUGGGGAGUUGGAAAUCAGAGGGUGGGAGCCAGAAGGGGAAAGGGGGAGUUCUGGUGGCGAUUUGGAAGGUGAGGAUAGCGAGGAAGAUGAAGAGAAGGAGAAGGGAAGAACAGGAGGGAUUGAUCGGAGGGCCGAAAUAGAAUUUUGAUUUAUCACUGUCCAUUAAUGGAAAACCAAAUUACAAUAGAGAGAAGAAGAAGAAGAAGAAGAAAGAAGGGGUAGAGGUCUAGAAGGCAGGCUAGAACUGGAAGGGUGGACAAUGGACAUUGCGCUUCCGCAUGCUAAAUCUUUUCCCUUUUUUUUUUCUUUUUUGCUUUCUCUUCUACUUCUUUCUUUUUAAUAGUUUUUUUUUAAAUAUAAAAUUUUCAAAUUUAGUUAAUUACAAUUUGAUUUGAUUAUAAUAUUUAUGGAAGGUAUUUUCACAUUUUUAAAAAUAGAUUAGAUGAUGCUUUAAAUAGUUUGAAGUUUCAGCCCUACUAAUUUCCUAGUUUUGUUUUCAAAUUCCAUAAUUACCCUUACUUCAAUGCACUUAUUUUGUUUUUGCAAGAAGCAUGACACCUUUUGUUUAUUUUUUUUAUUCUAUACAAAAUUUCUAACAACAUUUAUAUAUAACCAAAUAUUACAAUAUAUUUAAUAUAUUAAACUACUAUUUAUCUUUAUUAUAAUAUAAAUAAACACAUAAUUUAUUUUAGGCUAUCAUGGUUGUGUACUAAGAACCAACGUUCAUUGGGUUUAAGUUCCUCACGUUCCAAUUUGUAUUAAAAAAAUUAAUGAAAAUUUUUUAUUACAUCAUUUUUUUAAAAUAUAUUUUUCUUAAUAUUUUUGAAAACUAUUUCAUUUAUUAUUUGAAAGUAAGCUAAAUUUGAAAUGUAUGCAUAUUAAAUAUGAGUGGAAUUUUAGACAGGGAGAGAGAGGACAUCAUUUAAAAAGUACUAAUUAAUUUCUUUGAUAGCCUUGUUAUUAUUAUUUUCUAAAACAGUUUGAUAGCGUUAUUAUUAUUUUUAUAGUCGGAAUUCUGGUUGUAGUAAAAGAACAAAAUUGUCAUUAAAAUUAAAAAAAAAAAGAGGGAGGGGGGCAAGAUGGUAAUUAUGUAAAAAGAAGCCGUGGGCUUUUGUUUGCUUAUUUGAAAAAGUGGGAUUAUGAGACGUGGCAAGUUUAGAGUGGUGUUAAUAUGGAGUGAUAGCGUGAUAGAUGUUGUAGAAGAAACCUAAUGGUGUAAAAAUGGAAGCCGCUAUUCACGGGCAUCUUUCAACCUUUCUCAUCAUUUCUUUUUCAUUCUAUUUUCUUUAUUUUAUUAUGUUUUCUCUUAAAUUAAUAAAAAAAAUAAAAUUUAUUUAUUUUAAUUUGAGAAUGUAUGAUGAUAAAUAAUUUUAAUUGGAAAAGGAACGAAACCUUUUGAAUUUAUUAAAAACGCAAACAAAUACUAAAUAAGAGAAUAUCAUAGUUAUAUAUAUAAAAAAAAAAAAUGCAACAUCUCCAUUAUUAUGAAACAUUUUAAAUGAAGCUAAAAGUAAAAUUAUGCAACAUUAAUGUAAAUUAUCUCAACUUCAAAUGACAUUUGAACCAAUGUUUGAUUUUAGAAUUAAUAUUAUAUAUAUUUUUAAAUAGAAAAUUUAAUUUGAUUUAUAGUUCCAAGAGAUGCCUUCCUAAAAUGAUUGUUUAUUUACUUGUACCAAUUGAAGCCCUAGUUUUAAUUUAAAUUUACUAUCAAACAAAUAAUUAGGAUCAGAACACAUUUCAAGUAAAAAUAAAAAUGUACUUUUCCAUUAUUUUUCUUUCAAAUGUACAAAAGUCUACUUUUUUGGUGCCAUAUGUCUAUAACUAGUAAAGGUAAAUAAAAUAUAAAAAAAAAAGGAAAAAAAUAUUAAAAUUUGUUUGAAAAUUUUGUGUAAUUUCAUUUAUGAAUAUGUUUACAUACAAAAUUAGUUAUUUGCAAAAGAAAUUGAUUUCGUCUUCUAAAAUGUUAAAAGUUUUUUUUUUCAAUAACAAAAGAUAGUCCAUUAAUAAUUAACAUAGGACUAAAAGAAUGAACUAUGGUAAUAUUUUGAUAUUUUUUAUUCUCAUGUAUAAAAAUUUGAAAAGUGAGGAUAUAAAGAGUUAUGAAAAAUGGUAUUUUGAUAUAGUUUCUACCUAAUACCUUCUCUCAUUCUUUUAAAUUUGAAUCCAUCUAAUUGUACGUUGUUUUAAGCUUUUCAGUUGAAGUUACUAUUUUUUAUCAAACCUAGAUUAACCCUUUGAUUAUAUAUUUUCUAAUAGAAUUAGAUGAAUUAGAGAGAAAAAUGAAAAACAAAAAACCACAGCCAAUGUUUUAUUAGUUAUGUUUUGCAAUAUUCAUCAUGAACUUAUAUAACCUUGCAAUUUAGUACAAUUUAAUUGAAGCUUUUCUGUGGUUGUCUUACCAAUCAAUCCAUUGGCUGAGUUGACACCCGAGUUAAGGGCGACAUCGGUAGAUGACUCGGAAUUUUCAUUCCCAAUUCCCUUUUCAAAUUCUAUAACCUUCGUCACCACGAACAAUUUGCAAUAGAUACGAAACCAAGAUCAGGGUCUUCUUAAUUUUCCUUCUAUCUUUCUUUUUCCCCUUCAUUGGACGCGCCAUCAAUUCUACAUUGGAUUGCAGCAUUUGGGUAUUAAAUUUUGAUCUGUUUUUACGGGAUGUCAUGUUCGAUUUCAUUGUGAUUCAUUCAAUUCCAUUUCUGUCGCAUGUUUUCGUAUCUCUUUGGUAAUGGUGCAUGCUGUUUUGCAUUUGUUGAAUCAGCUGACAUUUGGGUUUUCUUUUUCUUUGAUUAGGUACGUGAAUCGGGUAGCGAUCUUGUUUUUAAAAAUUGUUGAUUGGGUUGGAGCCAUUGGAGGACGGAUUUGAUGGAUUCGACGUCAAACCAAACCGAGUUUGAUUACUUGUUCAAGUUGUUGAUGAUUGGGGACUCUGGGGUUGGAAAAAGUAGUCUGCUUUUAAGUUUCACUUCCGAUAACUUUGAAGAUCUCUCACCGACGAUCGGUUAGUUUUGCUAUACGGAUCAGAUUUGAAGUAUUAGUUUGGAAUUUCCUUUUUUGCUUUUGUGGGAUCUUGCGCAUUCUUUUUGAAAAUGAGCUUAGACAAAUCGGUUUUGUUGUUUGCUGCGGAAUAUUGGUUCAUCAUUUUAAAGAAACAUGUGGAAAGACAAUGAUAUACUUUUGCUGAAUAUUGGUUCAUCAUUUUCACUUUCACCUUCACCUUCUGCAUGGGAUUGAGAUGAGAUUGAGGGCAAAAAAUUAAAUGAAAGGGAAAGUUGAGAGGACCAAGAUUGAGAGAGGCAAUUAAUCUUAACCGUAUUUCAUCAAGAGAAGAAUGAAGCUCUUAGAUAAUCAGGUCAGGUGUCAUUUUUUUAGGACAGUGUAAGGAACUUAGCUAUAAUCGUAUCUGAGAAACUAAAAUGAGAAGUCAUGAAAGAGGUAAUUUGUGCAUUAAUUUCUAAUGGAAAAUACUAUAUUUCAAUGUAAAUAUGUAUUGUAUACUUUCAGGUAUACAAUGAAAAGUUCAUUUUCUUUGUAAUAUUAUAUAUAUAUACACACACUGUAUACUUUCUACCCGCUCUAUUAUCACUGGUCAUCUAUACUUUUGCAUUCUGUUCAGUACUUACUGACCCUGUGUAAAUCUAGGCAUAUGCUCAUCGUCCUACUGUGGGGCUAUUAGUAGAAUAGAUUUCCUUUUACCUGUGUAAGUUUGGUUGAAUUUCAAACCGCAUAGCUGAAAUUUUGGAUGUUCUCUUUCUUAUUAAAACAUUAUUAACAAAAUUGAGAAUUUAAAAUGAUUUUGAUUAUAAAUCCUACGUCUGCAUGUUUAAUUGUGCUGGUUUGCUUGUUUAAAAUGGAAAACGGCACAAGCCUUGCUAACUUCUUAAUUUGCCUUGCAAUGGCAUGUAACCAUCAAUAGACUAGAAAUGACUUUUAAUUAAUUGGUUGUUUUUGUGCGCAGGUGUGGAUUUUAAGGUAAAGUAUGUUACUGCUGGUGGUAAAAAGCUGAAGCUUGCAAUUUGGGAUACUGGUAAUUAAGCUUCUCCACACACAUAAAUAGGCUUCUUCUUCCUCCAUUUUUAUUUUUGAGAGGGCGUCUAUUCUAUUUUCCACACAUGCAAGAUGUAUGCUUUGGCAGAGAAGCACCAAACGGCUAAGUUAGAUAAUUAAUUUACAAAAAGAUAUUGCUUAGCUAAUUAUAUAAGCAGCUGGACGGUAUACUAAAUUAUAAAUACAUUGAGGCUUGGCCAUUUGCGUAGCUUGUCCUUUGUUCACCAGCUCAAAGUUGACUUUUCCUUCAUGGUCCGGCAAUCUAUGCAGUAAUCCUCGAUUCGGCACAGUUUUCUCCUGUUUUGAAUGUAGAAGCUAGAAAAUUUUGUUACCAAAUCUUUGAGGCAUUAAAUAAAUGGAUGAGAAGACAAUAAAUUUAACCAAUUGACAAAUAGAUCUGGAAGGUGAAAACGGAUGCUAACUGUUGACCAUAAGUGUGCCUGGAUGAUGGUUCUGCUGUGCAGAAAAAUGCAACAUGAAUGAACUUUUCACGUUCAUGUAUAGAACUUUGUUGAACCUGCAGCCGGCUAGAGCUUUUUCAUCAAGAUUAGAAACUUGUUCAUAUUUGUGUUUGAAUUAAAUUUGGAUCUUGACCUAACAGACUAAGAAAUUGCUCAAAGGAUUGUACAUGCUUAUUCUAAUUCUUAACUGUUAUCCAGUGGUCCUAGUGCUGUGAAUUAUAAAGAUAAUAUAGUUGUUCUUGUUGAUUAGCCAUGAUGUAUUUGAUGGUACUAGGGUAUUACUUCCUAUAUUUUCUUGUAAUGAAUCUGUAUGAAAGAAAUCUGGUUUACCACAUCUCCAAACUAUGCAUCUUGUAGAAUCUAACUCAAUGUUCAAUCGUACAGCUGGGCAGGAGAGAUUCAGAACACUGACUAGUUCAUACUACAGAGGUGCUCAAGGGAUCAUUAUGGGUGCGUUCUACUCCCUUCUUUAUUUGAUUGUUUUAAAGAGAAGAAAUUCUUUGCUUGGCAUAAAUGUUAAAUUUCUCAGCUGUGUUUAGUUUAAACGCAUUCAUGAUUUUAUCAAAUGAUAAGUUGUUCAUUUGUUUGGCCGUCCAAUAUUAUUCUAUUGCCUUUUGUAUUAUGUUAUCUUGAUUAUGACAUCAAAUAUUAACUGUCAGUUUAUGAUGUAACGAGGAGAGACACGUUUACAAACCUUUCUGAGGUAUGGGCAAAGGAAAUAGAUCUAUAUUCAACCAAUCAAGAUUGCAUCAAGAUGCUUGUUGGAAACAAAGUUGAUAAGGUAAGCGUCUUCAACUUCCAUUUGAAAUUUUCCAUUCACCUGAAUUUGGUUACUCUAACAUUUGUAUAGAUGUCGAUUAAUUGUUCAAGUGUAUGGUGAACUGAAAUUCAUAUUCCAAAGAGUUUUCAGGUUAAUUACCAAUAACAUAUUGAUAAUUUAAGAACCGAUUAAAUGAGUUAUGAAUAUCAAAGCUUUUUCCGUAUGAGUUUGUUAGGUAUUCAAGCUGUUAUUUACUACUAUUAUUAGAAAGCUUAGAAGAUGGCCUAAUGGUAAAAACGGAGACAUAGUCUGAAUAACUAACUAAGAGGUCAUGGGUUCAAUACAUGGUGGAAUUAAUUUCCUACAUGUUAUCUUGACACCCAGAUGUUGUAGGGUCAGGCGGGUUGUUCCGUGAGAAUAGUCGAGGUGCUCGUAAGCUUUCCCGGACACUCACGGUUAUAAGAAAAAGAAUUAGAAAGCUUAGAAGAGUGUUGAAACACUGUACAAAUGAAAUCUAACUUCUAGGUCUGGCUCAUCUCCACGCACAAAGCCUAUCCUAAAUUAUGACUCAAGAAACCAAACUUCCAAUAGGAAGAACAUAAAAACAAAAAGGCAUGUGCGAAAUACACUAAAUGUGAAGUUCAGGUUUUUGAGAUUCUUUUAAAUUUCUUAUGAUAAUGUUUUUCAUUGUCUGCAUCUAACUUACUUUUUAUCUGGAAUUUUAUUCUUCAGGAAAGUUAUAGGACAGUAACCAAGAAAGAGGGAAUUGACAUGGCUAGGGAAUAUGGUUGUCUUUUUACAGAAUGCAGUGCCAAAACUCGGGUUAAUGUACAGCAGUGCUUUGAAGAACUUGUUUUAAAGGUAGCAAUUUCAGUUUAGUAUUACUGUUGGUUCAUUUAUUGGUCAAGGGAUUGAUAUUGAUUGGUGAGUAGCAGGAACAUGGUGUUUCCCUGUUGUAAUUGUAACAGUCACAUUUCUGAUAUUUUUUAAAAGAUAAAAGCAAUCACAUUCCUGGUAUAUUCAUAAAUAGGUUAAGGCAGUGAAAAAUUUUGAACCCUCUUGAAUAGUCAUAUUUUAACGGCUAAAAUUUUCCUCUUCCUUUUUCCCAUUUUAAGAUUUAGAAAUAUCCUGCAAACUCACUGAAUGUUGCUUGGACGAUUAAAACAUGAUGAUAACGAUUCUUAUAUACAGAUUCUUGAUACGCCCAGCCUUUUGUCUGAAGGCUCUAAAGGAGUGAGAAGGAACAUCUUCAAGGAAAAACCUCCACAGUCUGAUGCAUCCACGAGCAGUUGUUGCUGAAAUUGAUUCAUUGUCUCUAACUACAUUUGCUGGUUGUUUCUACAUUGUUGUAAAACUACAGUAGAGGAGCAUGGUGUUAUAGCUUUUAUUUGUCUCACUCUCACAAAUUACCUUACAAAUUGAAAAGGGUGGUUUUGUCUUCUUGCUGGCUUUCUUGUACAGGGAAAAAUUGAAAUGGAAAUAUAUGAUACAUGAUUUCAGUCUUUCUUGCUUUAAUUUAGUUGCUGUCCUCUGGACUUUUGUUUUGUUUCUAUACACUGAGUCAUAGAUUCAGUACGAUUAAAAGAUGAUUCUUGUUAAUGUAAGAGCUGGGGGGAGGGGGGUUGGGAAGAAGUGUCCCACCUGCAAGUGUUUAAUUGAAGGGCAUAUUUGGAUGACUUUUAAGGGGUUAUAAAAGGGUUCAAGGAAAAUCCAAAUAGGUCCUCAUCCGACUCAAGUGGGGUUGAUUUGAAGUCGAGUUGGGCUUUGUGACGGAAAGGAAGAACAACCCCGUUUGGUUGUAUAUGCAUAAAUUUAGCGAUCUAAUAAAUAGGAUCUUCUUUUACCGGUUACUCGUUUCUUUCACCGGUUCAUGGAAGGUAACCGCUAGAUUUGUUUUUUAGAUGGAGAAAUAAAAACCACUUGUUAGGGGCUUCUUUUUAUUGAACUUAUAAAGUUGGAGAAUGGUGUGACUAAAGGUAUCAGCUCGGUAUGUGUUUGUUACAGUCGAGACGUUAAUAAACUUAAAUUCUUGAAACGUUGAAGAGGUUCUUUUGAUUUCCUUUUAUGGAAGGUAUAUCAAGAAUGUAAAUAUUCUGAUUGAUUUGUGGAAACCUUUGAGUUCAUUAUGUAUGGUAAACAAAGUGAAUGUUGAUGGUAGUAGUAAAUGAGAUCAAAGUUUAUGAUAUGCUUUUCAAGAGAAGAAUGAUGGUAGUAGUGACCAAGAAAGAUCAAAGUUUAUUUCUCUCGUUGAUGCCGUAUAAAAAACAUUGUAAAAGUAGUAUGCUCCAAAAUUGGAAAAUAUAAGAGUUCUAUAAAAUGUUCUUGGCCAAGAAAAUGUGAAUAAAAAAUUCAAUUAAAUCGAAACAGUCCUUAAAUCUAUCAAAAUGUGAAAAAUUCUCAAUCUCUCACAAGUAUUGAAAACUCAAGGUUUUAAUUGAUGUUGGUUAGGUUCCUAAUAGUAAAUACUCUAGGACUCCGAUGUACAUCUUUAUGAUUAUGUUGUGUUUAAGGAAGAGAUUGAAAGACACAUACAAAAUGUAUCACCAACAAGGAUCAUCUAAUCCAAUAUGAGCCCUUACUUCAACCUAGUGUUGUUAGUCAAGAAAAAAAGACAUGAUUUGACGUUUUUGUGUUAUUAUAGAGCUUUGAAGGAAGCCAUUGUUCCACGUAGAUUUUCAAUCCUUGUCAUUGAGAAUUGCUAGAUGUUACAUAAGUCUUUCAUGUAUUAUAUGUUAGACCACAAAUUUGACUAUUUACAUCCAUAGAGGUUACUAUAAAUUUCUUGUGAUGCGUUUGAGUUAAAAAAGAACACUUCAACCACUUUUUAAUCUACGAUGAAUCAAAGUAUUUAUACAUGUUAUGUUUUUGAUAAAACGUCUUAUAGUUUUGUUUGAAGAUAUAUUGAUGUAUAGCCUCAACUUGAGACCCACGUAAUAUCCUCGGCCACAAUUUUCUAUUAGCAAACAUGAAAGAAAUGCAAGUGUGAGGAAAGUUGUGUGUGGAUCUAACUAUUCAUAAAUGGUUUGUGAAAGCAUUGGACGUGGAAACCAUUAAAAAAAGGUCAAAGAAGAUGAAUAUCUGUGUAAGAUUUGAGUGGAGUGGCACGAUGAUUCUCAAUCCCAACUUUUUUUUACUUUUUUUUAUUUGUCUUUGACACUUUUCUCCCUAAUUCUUCCCAAUUUUGGAGCAAUCUAGCUUAAUCUAGCUUAAUCUUUUGAAGAUAUUUGAAUCAAGAAUGAUGUUGCGAAUUUCAAAAAAUGAUAAAAUUUAGAUAGUUGUAAACUCUAAGCUAUGAGUAUAUAAUGUGAGAAGUUGACAAGACAUAAAAUUGAUAUAUUUUAGUCACGGACUCAAUAACUCUUUAGACCAAACAAGGAGUGUAGCUCACAAGUCGAAUCUUUCUAAUUCUCUCCUCUUCAUACCUUAACUUUUUGGCCUAAACACCUCGGUAAGUGCUUGCAUAUGUAUCGCUUUAUUUCUAUGUCACAUAUUAGACUCUUUCGACCACUACCCAUUAGUCCAUAACUAAUUUGAAAUGAUAUCUUUUAAGGAUUUCAUUGACAUGGGCUCCAUAGACACAUCACACAAAUGGAAAGGCUAAUUCUAUGUCUAAGACAAGGUGGCUCUCACCACCCGGGUAUUGUUAAGCUCUACUAGAAAAUAAGAUGUGAUUUGAAUUUAAAUCAAAGUUGAAAGAGAUUGUUACCUUCCCAAAUUGGUAGAAAUUUUGGUUGUAUUUUGUUUGAAGGUGAUCAAAAUAUCAAAAAAGAACCUUAGAUGUUCAUUCCUCAAGUGCUCAUAAAUUACAUUGAUUCAUCUUACAUAUUACACUUAGAAACAGGUCAUAAUAGCAUUUAAAUCUAAAUAAACAUAGGGAAGUAAGAAGAAUAAAAGUUCGAAAAUGAGAAAAAAAGAAAUACACAAUUUGAUUCCAAAAUUAUAUCUAAAGUAUAAGCAAUUUAGUAUGGAAAAUAUGAAAAUAAGGCUGAAGUUUUGCCACCAAAACAAACCAACAGCCAUGGGUUCUACAACUGCAAGACUGCUGAUUCCUCAUCUUCUUCUUCCCUCUUCUUCUUCUUCUUCUCACAAUCCAUCAACAAACACUCGCACCAAAUCUUCAAAACCCCUUUCAUUUCCCAACCAUAAUUCAUUACCAACCAGGCGUUUGUUGCUUUUCUCCCUCCCCAUAGCCACUGCCUUUCUUCUCCCAAUUCCGGGCAAUCCAAUUCAACCCAGUUCUUCCUUUGCUGUGGAGAGCUUUGACCCUGUCAGCCGUUCCGAGAAAGAUGCCAGUGCCGCCAUUUCACGAAGAGUAUCUGAAGCUGUGGAGCUUCUCGAUAAAGGCAGGGAGUUGCAAGCUCUUGGUGAUUUCAAUCAAGCUCUUCUCUACUUCACUCAGGUUUGUACUAAUUUUGCAUCUUCGAAUUCGUAGAUUUAACGUCGAGUCCCCAAUAAUUUAAACAAUGAUAAGUUAUAGAAUUGUUGAGGAUUGAUGCUUAGCUGAAUUUUUCCAUUCUUUAGAGUCAACUAAGUUUUAGAUGUAAAGUUCUUGUGAUGGACAUCGUGUUAUCAGAUAGCAAUGGCUUUUUUCCAAAAACAAAUUAACAGGAAAAUUUUCAGAAAAAUUAAUAUGCUCUGGAGUGUUGUUAGUUUAUGUUAUUGUAUCUAUAAAUCUAAAAUGUAUGUUGGACAAAGCAUAUCAACAAAAAGAAACCUUUUAGGAAAUCCUGCAUGCAGGAUCUGGUGCAUAAAAGUAAGGCAUAUUAUCCACAAAUGAUUUACUUAUCUGACUUUAUGGAUAAUUCCCCAAUAUAUUUUGGCGACCCAUUGGGAUGUUAUUAGUCUUUUCCACCCACAUUUGGUGUGAUUAUGCGAUUUACCUAGUUGGAAUUUUCAAGUCUUAAGCAUACUGAUGGGUUUUCAGCUGAAUGGAUUAAACCAUUUCUUACAAAAUGUCAAAAUCGUGAAGAUUUGUGGAAAGGGUACUUGUCUUUUUUGUUUUCAGAUAAGUUGUAUGUAAGGAACUUUCUUGUAAGACAUAAGAUCCACGUAUUUUUUAAGGCAGUUCUAUGAAUGGAAUUUUGGAGGCCCAUUUGGGUGUGGUUUGUUAGAUCCAUAUGUUCUAAUCACGAGUGACUUAACUUAACAACACAGUUCUGUCACUAUCCAGAUAGAAGAAUGAGAAAACUAUUAUGUUUUUCGUUUUUAAUCGUGUUUGAGACUAGGAUCCGCGGUGGAUCAUUAUAUUACUGAUCUUCAGAAAUAUUCACUACUUCAAUUUGGAUUUGCUGUAGGCUUCAAAACAUGCAACAUGAAAUUACUUUCUGAUUUCUAAACACCUGUCUCGCAUAGACAAAAAUUCUAUAGCCUCUAAAUACUGAGUGUUCCUGAGGUUCAGGUAGGGGGCGACAAAACUUUGAUUAUAAACUUUUUUUAUUAUUUAUUUUGCUGAAGAAAACUCAAAACGAAAAGUGUUUAGCAUGUGACGAGAAGACUUCAGAUUCCUUUCCCUUUGAAGCUCAUAUUCAAUCUGCACUCCUCAUUUAAUUGAGAGAAAUUAUUUAACUAUUGAUUUAUUUGUCAAGUCAACGUAUUUUGAGUGUUAGUUCUUAUUAAAAAUUUGAUUUUAGUUCUUUUCUAAUUUCAGGUAAUUGAUAAAUAUAAAGAUUUUGCUUUCUCGGAUUAUGCCCGAGUAGGCAGAGCAUUGGCCCUGUACGAGAUUGGUGACCGAGAAGAAGCCAUUGCAGAGAUGGAGGAUGUUUCCAUAUCAUUGAAGGGAUAUCCAGGUACUUGAAUAAAUUUUGCACAAAUUUUGGGUUCUAGACGUACAGAUUGAAGAGGGUAUCACGUAGAUGCAGUGCAACAACAGUUUUAGCUAGAGAAAGAGACUUUAACAUACAGUAUACAAGUACUUGAGAAUAUAUAUAUAUAUAUUUAAAUGAUUCUUCAAACAAUUUUCCUGAGGUAAAAGUUUAGUUAAAUUAUAUGUUUAGUUCAUAAAUUUUGAGGUUUGUGUUCAUUUUAGUUCUUUAGCUUUCAAUAGUCGGUUAAAUUUUAAAAUAAUUUAUUCAAGUAAAGGUCAAAAUUGCAACUUGAAAGUGAGAGUUUAAGAUGAAAAUGGAUGCAUAUUGUUUAGAGUUAAAAGUAGAUGGAUGAUUAAGGCUAUGAUGGCAUAAUUGAAUCGUGCCAAGGAGCUUGGAUGCAACGCAAAUAACUAUAGAUAUGGGUCAUGGAUGUGUUACCAACAUAAUUAAUGCCAUUUAAAAAAGAGUCAAUAGUAUGCACAGGAUAAUUUUAUACAUUCAUGGGUUUGAGGUAUGCAAAAGUUUAUUUAUUUUUAUGUUAUAUAUCUAUUUAGGAUGCUCAACCAGUGUUUGAUACAUAUCUAACAAAUGUGGACUAGUAUUUAUUUGUACAAUUAGUGUCAAAUGCAUUUAUUGUAGUUACAAGAGUUCUAUGCUUGUAUUCUUUCUCUAUCAUUUUCUGGUGUGGUUGGAUUUUGUAAAACAUCAUUGAAUGUGGAUUGAAAUUUUGACUGCUCUCUCGAAGCUAUGUAUAGCAAGCCACCUAGAAUCUAAAAGAUCAUAAUGUUUAACAGUAGUACUCGACAGUUGGUGUCUUUUCUCUUACAUUAUGUGGCCAUAAUGAAUCAUGUGUAGUACAUAGUACUUACUGGCAUUUAUGUACCGGUAUAUUGUUUUGCAGAAGUGCAUGCGGCAUUGGCUGCAGCUUUAUACGUGGAUAAGCAUGCUGCAUUGCUGGCUGAAAAUCAAUUCACCAUUGCAACCUUGCUUGAUCCUCACUAUGUGGAUAUCUCGUAUGUGAAAGAAACAAAGCACUGGCCUCCUAGUUUGAUCAGUUCUUUGCAACAUUUCUUAACACUUUCUUAGACAUUUGUAAUAAAAUAUAUACAGUUUCUGUCAUAAAAAACUCAAUUCCUUGUUUUGUAAGUGCACAAAAUUUAAUACACUUUAAACAUCCAUGUAAUUAUUAGUAGAAAUAUAGUUUAUGUUUACUCUCUUAUCCCCUUUGACUUGUAACAUAAAUUCAUUUCUUCAUUUAAACUUACCUGAUGCUCAUCCUCAUUCAUGUUCUGAGUCUAUUCAAUGCACCUUCUUUAUUGACGGAGGAUACAAUGAUGGUUUUGCUAGUUUUAUACCAUUGGAUAUAAGUAAGUGAAAUUACAAAACAUUUUUUGUAUUGGAAUCUUGAAUCUAUAAUUGAGUCAACUUCAUUCAUAUUUGUGUUAUUGAACUAAUCCUAGAAAUUGGACAGAAACUUUGAACACUUGAGCUGGAUAAUGGAUGUAUCAGAAUUGUCCUUAAUUAACCAAGGUUGAUUGACCUCUACAAGACAAUGGAAGUCACCAUUUAGGAAGGCUUUUCUUUCACGCUGAAAAGUCUUUGCUGUGACUCUGCACUCAUUUUUGUACUUUUAGUGCUUUCAUAUUAACUUUUUAAAUGGUGAGACCACAAUACUUUGUCCUAGAGUAACUAUAGGUCUUUAGUGGGUCCUCAUAUUAAUAAAAAAAAAAAAAAAUUGCUCUUUUAAUGCCAUUCUGGUGUUCAUAAAAUGCUUUCACACAUGGAAAUUUUCCCACUUCUUCAAGAAAGAUCACAGAAAAUAUUUUGCCACAAGUAACUUCUGGUUUGUAUAACCACAUCUUUCAAAUCAGCCUUCUCUUUCUGAUUUUUCAAUUAUUUAUAGUUUUGAUGGUUUUUUUGGGCAAGGUAAAGUCCCAUCAGAAGUACCUGCCAGUAAUUGCAACUAUUUUAGAAAGAUGCUGGGGAUUCAGAAUUCUGAUGUGCUCUCAUUCAUUCAAGCUAAAUGCCAUUGCUGACAGGCAAGCAGUGAAGUGCUUCCAGCAAAUUGAGUGGGCCAUCAAGCAUGUGCUUUGCCCCUGCCUUUCUAAAUCAUAUGCAAAUCUCUGCAGUUACUCAUACUAUUAUUAAGUUGUAAAGUAUUGAACACUUGUCAUGAUUAUUAAUCAGUUGUAUCAUGACAUUUACAGGCUUUCAAUUCUGAUGCUCAUAUUGGACAUGGGAGGCUUAUUUACACAUCAUCAAUGGCUCUGAUUGAGCCUCAGGUUCACUUAAUCCAAUCUGCUUUAUUGAUUUUCUUUUAUCAAAUCAAAUCAUACCAAAAUUUGGAUUGUGAACAUUUGAUUAAUGAGAAAGCUAGGUAUAUUAUAAUUAAAGUUUUUCCAAUCUGAAUAUAAUGAUACUGAAAUGCAUUUGCAUGUGAUUAAAAAUCUCCAAUGAGUGAAUUUUUUCUAUACUUGAUUGUGUACACUACUAGAUAUUUCUUCCAUAGCCAAUCAAUUUUGCUGGCUACAAUGUAAAGAUUCACAUUUGAAAGGGAAAAAAAAAGGUCCCAAAAGGGUUGAGGGAUAGAAUAUUAUUAUCACACAUUACAUAUUCCUUUUGUCCUCAACCCACUUGGAUCUAAGAAGCUUGAGUAGGAUUCUUGCCUUUGUUUUGGUUUUUGCACAACACUGACUUUGCAGAAGCAGAAGUAAUUGACUCAAAACUCCACCUCUAAUGGCCUUUUCUCUUGCCUCUACUGAAUCAUAACAUAAAAUUAUAAGUGAACUAACAGCACUUUCACUGCCUCCGUGAUCUGAUACUCUAAAAACCAUCUUCACAAUAACAUUUACACCAUCUGGAAUAUUUACCACUUCCUCUUUUGCACUUCUAAAUACCAAAAGUUUCUCAAUUGCUGCCAUUGCUUCUCGUGCAGAGCUUCUUUCUCUUUGUUGAGCAUUAGAAAUGUAUGAAAUAAGUCCAGUAACUGCACCUUCCACAACCAAAUUGUUGAUGUUUUGUUCCAAGUUACUUAGUGAACAUAUGGCUUUGGUUGCUGCAUCAGAUGCCUCUGAGUUGUGGUGUAGAAGUUGCACGAUUUCUCGUAAAAGCUCGGUUGUGUUUCCGAGUAAAACACUAAGAUCUUUAGUCUCAACUGAAGAUGAAAUUGCCUGAACCAAAUGACACAAACUGAUCUUGAUCAUGGAAGUGCCAUUACUGAACAAAACCAUGAACCGUGAUAGUUUUGACUCAUCCAUUAGCACAUUUAGGGACUGUAUCUGUUCAAGAGAAACCAUAGCAACCAUAAAACUAAGCGCUUGCUCUACAAAUUCCUGAUAUUCUUGUGAUAGUUUGGUUUCUUCUUGCCCAAAAAUCAACUCCAAAAGCACUGACAAGAACCCAAUUCGGAUCAAACAAGAAUUACGAGAAGGAAACUCUUCACAUAAAAUUCUAACUCUUUGAAGAACUUGUAGCUUGUAUUCAUAAGAAAACUCAUCAGAUUCAAGUUUGAUUCUCAAAGCAGCCAUAGAAUCAAUAGUAGAAACACAUUGAGGGUUUAUUUGGUCACUCAUCUGAAGCCACUGACAAAUCAAAUGACGAAGAGUAUUAUUAGGAACAAAAGAAGGAUCAUGAAGCUUCUGCAUUGUAACAGGACAUGUAAGAUUCCCUGAUGCCAACCAUUUCUCAAUGCUUGAUCUUUCAUAAGUUUGUCCUGUGCAAAGAGUGACAGGAUCCUUAAACAAAUCAAGACUUAUUGGACAUCUAAACAAGUGAGGGAUGGUCUCAUGAUCAUCAGCUUCUUUCAUGGAGAAGAAAAAGAAUAAAACUAAUUACAAAAACCAGAGAAAGAAGAGAGUGAGUACCCCCUAUUAGAAAUUUGGUAAAAAGAGAGAUGGAAAUGAAAUCUUUGAGAGAGGUGGAAUGAUAAAAAAGGAAGAUACGGUGGGAAAGUUUUCAAAAGAAAGAGAAAAAAGGGAGACCGAUUGAGUUCUUAAAGGCUUUUCUUUUCAAGUCACAAAAGAAGAACACAACAGUGUGAUAUUUGAGGAAAGGAAAAUGGAGACCCCAAAAGCUAAAAGGCAUAAAGAGAGAUGAAAAACAGGUAUAGAAAUUGGAAUCAGAUGGUAUAAAGGUGGAUUUAGAAAGCAAAAAAAGCUGAAGGAAAGAAAAGUAGGCAAAAUAUUAAGACUUAAACAGUGAGUUUCUAUGGGGGAAAAGUGUACUGAUUUUGGUCUGAGCUAAUGCUGUUUCACACUGGCAGAUAUAACGAAAAAAAAAGAUAAAAGAGUAUAGAUCAGAAGAGAGGGACAAAGUAGAGGUUAAUCCUAGUGAGAGAGAUGAACAAAGUAAAAUGAUAUGGAAGAAGUAUGAGAAAAAUUGGUCCCCAUUACUCUAAUAUAGAAUUCAGUCAAAGUGACCCACCAUCAAAUAAUAAUAAUUAUUAUUGUCUUUGAAGUUUGAAUCAACCCUCAUAAUAAGAAAAAAAAAUGGGGAAAAAAGGAGAAAAAUAAUGGGUCUAAUUCCCUGUGAUAGAGAGAGAGAGAGAGAGAGAGAGUUUUGACUAAGAAUUUUUCUUAUUCCUUGAGAUAUAGAUAGAGAGAGAGAGUUUGACUGUGAAAUGUUAAUGGUAAUCACAAUUAGAUUUUGAUGAGAAUUCUGAUCUCAAUUAUGAUUAUAAACACUCAUACCAAUCAUAUAAUGCAAAUCUAAACUGGAUAAUUCUCUAAUAUGUGUACUAAUAAAGGUGGCCUUUUUUUCCCCUAUGUUCAUACCUUUAAGAUCUUUCAAAAUUCAAACAAAAUUUGAAUUCUAAAUUUUAUAUAUUUUAAAAUUUUGGUUUUAUUUUUAGAAAUUGGAUAUGAGUUAAAAAGAAAAAAAAUAAACCCAAAAUUUAAAAAUAAAUAAUCGAAUAAUUAUCAAACGUAACCUACGAGAUCAUGUAAAUAUGUACUUAAUUACUUUAUUUGAAGUUGCAAUUACUUGCUUGAUCUAGGCCAUAAAUAUGACAUAGGAUGGUCUAACAAUAGCGAAUCUAUUUGAACAAUAAUCAUAUCAAUUAUUAAAAGUUGAAGCAGUUUACACAACAAAAUGGUAUAUUCUUUCCUAUAUAGACAUGAUUUAACGACUAUAGAUAUAAAACAGUGAAGAAAAGUCAGAAUAGAUGACUUUUACUCUUUAAAUUUUUAUUUUUUCUUUAUAAAACGUAGACCAACUCAAAUAUUUAACUAAAGGAAUAGUCAUUUAUUUGAAGGUUCUAAUUUUUUAAGAUAUAUUAAAAUGAAACUACAAAUUUCACCUACAUCCCAAACACAUGUAAUGAGCUAAUAUACAUAAAACAGAAAGAGAAAAAUCAAUUGACUCUCCCACUUUGAAUCGCAAUUAUUUAUUUUUGAUUCAUUUCUAUUUUCAUUUAGAAGUUGAAAAUUAUUUACAUAAAAUUAUUCUUAAAAAAUAUCACAAAAUCUCUCUAAACAAGUAAAUAAAAGUAGAGAAGGAUUAGCAAGUGAAAAGUUACUCAAAUUUGAUGAAAAUCACUCCUAUAUCUAUUUAGAUCCACGACUUUAAAACAAAAUUUUAAAUAAGAGUCUAAAUAAGUUAACUUAAUUAAAUUGAUAGAUAUAUAACAAUGGGUAAUUAGUAUAAAGUUAAAAAAGUUUUAAUUAAACUAAUACAAAGUCAAAAUUUAAAAGUAUAGAUUAAAUUUUGUAGUCCCUCUAGAAGUGAUGUUAAAUGCGCAACAUCAUUCAAGUAAUUAAUCCACUUAGAAUCCAUAGUUUUUGUUGAGUAGAGAAGUCUUCAACAAUGGAAUUCCAUCACAAACUAAGAACCUUUUUUGUAACAAAAAGAGGCCAAAUUUAAUUUGUUCACGUAAAGUGUUACAAAAAAAAGUCACUCAAUUUUAUAUUAUAAAUAAAAAGAAAGAAUGGAAACUACCAAAUUAUGGAUUAUACCUGAUUAUGGAUUCAAAUAAAACUUUGUCUCAUAUAUAUAUAAAACUUAUAGCUUAGCUUAUAAGUUUACUUUAGAAAGACUUCCACAUUUUGCUUCCAAACCGUCUUUAAAGUUGAGGGACCUAAUAUUCAUUAUACAAAAUUAAAAGUCAUGAUAUGUAAAUAAUUAAUAAGGUCGUAGUUGUACAAUCUAUAAAACAUAUGUCAUAUUUGAAUAAUUAAACGGUCAAAGAUCGAGGAUGAUAAUGAUGACGAACUAAGUUGAUUCAAUGAACAUGAUACUUUUAUAUGUAUAUUCAUGUUAAUAUGAUGAAAAUUGUUGACAUGAACAAUAUUUGAAAUGUAAGAUAUUUAUGAUUUAGACUAGUUAACAAUGAAAUGAUGAAAAAGAGAAGGAUUAUAAGUUUUGAAACGUUACAAAAACGUUGGUUGAGUUAGGUCAUAUUUUGAAUAGUGUUGAAAGGAUGAUGUUUAAGAUUGAAUGCAUGCACACCCACCAUAUUUAUUUGAAGUGUGCCGGCCAAAGGCAUCAUCACAAAAACACAAAUUAAUUCUAUCAACACUUUGACUUUUUGACUCUCAUUAUAUACACCAAACUUCCCCACCUCAUGACUUCCUAAUGUUUAGUCUAUUUUUUCCAAUAGUGUGUUAUGGGGAUGAUCCAUUGCCCAUUAUGAACGAAGGGGUGAUUCCAAAUUCUCUCCAUAGUCCCACUUUUAUCAUACGACUUUCAAACGUGGAUCAAACUUUAGGUAUUUGUGUAAUGAUGUCAACCAUAUAUCGUGUCAUUUCAUUGAGGUUUUAAGUCUUAUUUGUAGUCGUUUGUCAAAAUUCUAGAAGCUUUUUUGUGACGGUAUUGUGUGAUUAUAUUAUAACAUCUAGAGGUAUAAUAAUUUGUGUUUGAAGUCAAGCAUAUAGAUACAUACACAAACAACUUCUCUAACUUCAUAAUAUUGGACAAAAGUAUAUAUCUAAAAGUGGUAUUUGCAAAGUAUAUAGAGAACAACCCACUAAUGAUACAAAAAGUAUUUUCAAAUUAGACGAUAAGAGUUCAAGAUGAAGGAAUCAUCAAAGUACGUUUAUCGAGAUCAAAAAACUUACGAUAUACUAAAAUAAUUUCUUAUAUAUAUAUAACAUGAGUGGAAAAUGUAUAAAUCGUUAGAAAAAUUUCUCAUUUUAUUCUCUAAUAUUAUGCAUAGUUUUUUGUUUUAAGCUUUGUGAAGACCCAUAAAAUGUAUUACAUAUACUUAAACACAUGGUUGGAUUGACAAAAAAAAAAAGAUGUUUUAAAUAAAUCAUUUUCAUCCAAACACUUUGUAUAACAACUUAGUUAUACUUAAUUACAUUCUUGAAGACAAAUUUGUUAAGUCUGACAUAAUCAAAGUGGAUGGUUGAUAUCUAUAGUUUCAAAAAGAAAAAUAAAUAGCAAAGAGAAAGUACUUGUGAAUUAAAUCAAAGCAAUGAGAAUGGUUAAUUAAGUAAACCAAUAUCCACAAAAGGUAAAAGACCAAGUUCAUUUCCCUUUCAAUGUUUACAAUAUUUUACACCCAAUUCUUUUAAUUUGAUAAAAAGGAAUUCAAAUGUCAAAAAGGAUAGUCAAGAAUAUUUUAGCUUUAAUGUUCCCUCAAGAUUAGGUAAGUUUGGCCAAAAGAUAUUGGAAGAGAGAGAGAGAGAGAGAGAUAUCCAAAGCCACAAAAAGACAAAUAAAUGAGCAAAAUACACAAACUAUUCAAAAUAAUAUUUUUUUAUUUUCUUCUUCUCUUUAAAAAUGAAGAAAAUGAACUUUGAACUUAAUCUUGUCGGCUUCUUCAAUACUUUAAUUUGAAAUUACAAUAUUAUUUCUUUUUAAAACAACUAUUAAUUAAUAAUCUUUUGUUAGAGACUUUUAUCUAAAGAAAAUAAAAUCUUUUAUUGGACUUUGUUACAUUCCUUACUUUGUACCCAACAAUUGUUUGAAGAUAAUAAACUAAUAGAAAUGUAAACAAAAAUUCUUACAUUGAUCCAAGAAAAAAGUGAUCGUGGAUAUAUAUAAGCAAUUAUUUGUAUUGAUAAGACUUCUACAUAUGGUCAUGAUUUGUGAAGUUGAAUGUAGGUAAGAAAAGGAAUGUAUAUAUAUAUUUCACAAGUUUUUUCCCUAGGUAGCCACUUUAGGUCAUUUUUAAAUGGGUACUAUUGGUAUAAAUUUUUAAGAUAUCGAUCCUUUAUUUUUUUAGUUUUAGUAUACAUUCAAGUUUUAAUUCCUUGAUCAAAGUGAGCUUAGUUUAACGGUAAUUGAUAUGACUUUCUAUUUUAGAGAUGUGAGACGUUCGAAUCUCUCAACCUUCAAUUGUUGUACUAAAAAAAGUUUCAAUUACUUGUAUAUAUUUCACCUCAAGCUUUAAUAAUUAUUUUUAUUCAUUUAGUAGUAAUUAAAACUUUAAAGGGAGAGAUUAUAAAAAGAAAAUUGAUAGGGAUUGAUUUAUUUUGAUGCAUUGUGAUAAAUUGAAUUAAUAUUUUUAUCGACGAAUUGUAAGUAACGCCCUCGAACAAAAUUUGUAGAUCCAACAACUGGCUCGAUUAUAGUCCCAUUUUGAAGUUAGGUUUCACGCAAUAACAUUUGCAUAUAUUCUAAUAUACUCCUCGUUGAAACUCAUGGAGAGAUAAUCAUUUUUACCUCAUGAUAUGCUCAUAUUUUCUUUGUCAACUCAUCAACGUGGAAUCCAUAUCUCUAUGCAUAUUGUAUAAUUAACUUACCAAUUAUACAUUUCAUUCUUCACACACACGCACACUAAAAAGAAAUCCAAUGUAAUUUUAUUUCCAUGCUACUAUUCUAGGCAACUUUUAAGUAGUUAGUCAAUACUUAAUUAGCGGUAAUUUGAUAUGAUCUUCCUUCUAUCUAUUGUACUAAAACGCAAACUUUUAGAUGGUUAAAAGUUGUUAAGUGUUUAUUGUGAAUUUUUUGGUCAAAUUUUGGUUGAAACAACACUUCAUAUAUUUUAUAUAUGUGUGUGAUCUAACUGUUGGGUUGGCCAUGCCCAUGCUCUAGAUGAACAUUAUUUAUAAUGAGCCCUCAGUCCAUGUAAUAUUCCUCCAAUUAAAUAUUAUAAACAUGAUGAGAAAAGGGAAAAUAAUAAUAAUCCAAGACAAAAUUAAAUGAGGUUUAAUAAUUAACUAAGAUUAUAUAUUGGAAAUUCAAAUAUCAUCUAAACUCAAAUACAUCUCAUCCAAAUAAGAAAGUUCACUUUCAUCAUCAUCAUCAUCUUCCUCAUAACAAAACAUACUUCUUCCAAUAAUAUUAUUGUUUUCUUUUGCUUCAAAUACUCUACAUACAACCCAUAUUCCAAACUCCUGUUCAAAUCACAACACAUACAAUCACCUUAAUAAAUCAACCCAACAAUAAUGUUUAAAUUAAAUAACCUAACAAUUCGAACAAUCUAGACUAUCCAAUCUAAAUUGUAUAGACUAGGUUAGGGUAACCCAAAAUUUAGAAAAUGUAACCAACAACUCACUCUAAUCUAACUCGAAUUUUAAAGAUUUGGUUCGAUUGGGUUGAAGAUACAAUCAUUUUGGGUUGCCAAUUUGGUCCAAAAACUUUCCAUAAUCCAACUCAAUCAACCCAUUUACCUUCACCUAAUUAAUCUCUAUACACAAUUAUAAAAUAUACCAUCAUUCAACCACUACUACAUAGUUUUAUGUUUUUCUCUAUUUAAUUUAAUUAUGCUCUUAGGAAAAUACAUACACUAGUUAAGUUUUUUUUCUUGAUAUGGAUUGUAUAGUUAUAUAAUCUUGUAUCUAUUCAGUAUUUGAACUUUUGGAUUACAAUUUAUGUGAACCUCCAACUUUAUCAAAUAGGUUAUUGAUUUUCUUUCAACUAUUUUUAUAAUUUACAUACCUUAGUGAUCGUAAAACAUUAAUAAAGCUUGAAGUCUAGAUUUGUUAUUAUUUUUAAAAAAUUUAAUAUGUCGUGAACUUAUUAAAUACAAAAUCUAAAGUUUAAAGACACAUUUAAUAUUUAGGAACCCUUUUACCAAACUUUAAAAGUUUAAGAGAUAAAUUUGUAAAUGAAUCUGCAUCCAAAUUAUCUAAAUACUUUUUUGGUUUUUUAAGCUUUUAAAUAUGAUUUUCAUUUUGGUCCUUAAAAUUUCUACUUCCGUUCCUAAGCUAUAAAUUUAGUUUUUAUUUGGUGAUAAUACUUAUCUAAAUUAAAAUUUAAAAAGUUACAUUUUGCCAUUGUGUUUGAGUUUUUAUUUCCAUUUAGUCUAUAAGCUUUAUAGUUUUAUACUUUUACUUAAGAUAGUAAAAAGACCAUAGUACCAAAACUAGUAAUUUCACAUAUAUUUUUUUAUUUAAUAAAAAAUUAAGUACUAAGUGCCAACUAGAAUGAACAUAUACUUCAUUUAGCAAAAAGUUUGUACUACAAAUUUCAAGAUUAGAACUUUAUUGAUUAUUCACUCCACGUAUUAUUUUUCUAGAAAAACACCCGCCAUACCAAUUACUUUGUCUGAUUUUGAGGGGAAAACAUGGUGAUCGAAUCUAUAACGAAAUGAAAAAGUGUAAAAUGAAAGAAAACGAAAAACGAGAAACAAGGAAAAAUAGUGAAAAUGUAAGAUUCUUGAGUUGUUUCACUUACUGAUUUUGUUUGUGAUAGAUUAUUGUUGUUGUUUUGAGAUGGAUGAGUAUGAUCAUGAGUGUUCAAAAGGUAGUUGUAAAUGUGAUACUCUUGCAUGACCCAACUUGUUUGAAUGGGUGUUGGUGAUUCAUCAUCUUCUUCUUGAUCACCAACAAAGAAAAUAUGAUAUUUUUUGAUACCCACUUCAUCCCCAUUGGCACCGCAAAAGAUUGGUUCAUCCAUUAAAACAUCUUUCCAAUAUCCACUCUCUGUUGCUCUACUUUCUCCCACUCUGCUGAAAAAGUAAUGAAUGUCCCCAUUUGACAGUGUUUUACCUGUGAAACACAAUAAAAUUUUAACUUUAAAAUAUGUGUUUUGGUUGUUUCAAUUUGGUUCAUAUAGAUACAAAAUUUAUAAAUAUAGAACUUUUACUUUUCACUUAGUAUUAUUGCUCUCGAAUUUGAAACUUAAAUGAAAACUAAAACAAAAACUCAAGAAACAAAAACAUUUUAAGUUCUAAUGAAGUCUACAAGUUUUAGAGAAGAUAAAACAAACUAGAAUCAAUAUUUACUUUAAAGGAAAACGUAAAAUAACACACACAUAUAUAUAUAAAUUUUAAAAGCAAGAUCUUAUGCUCUUCCAAUGCUCCUCAUCAAUCUAACUUAAAAGCUAGCUUGACUUCUUGUACCUACUGCAUGCAUAUAUAGCUAGCUAUAUUGUUCUUCGCAUAAUAAGAGAAAAGAUAGAGGGGGGGAGAGAGAGAGAGAGAGAGAGAUUAUGUAUAUAUUAUAUUAUACCAUGGAAUUGCCAAGGGUUAUAGAGAUGAAGCUGAAGAUGAGGAAUAAUAAUGGAAUUGGAAAAACGAUGAUGAGAGUUAGCUUUGUGAUAGAGAAAGUGAAGCACAAGGUCUUCAUCAGUUGGGCAGAAUCUAAGACCAGGAGGCAACAGAUUUAAGCUAUUAUUUCCACUUAUCCCACCUUCAUCCAUAUUAACAAACUCAAUCAUAAUAAUAUAAAUAACAAAUACACAAUAAUAGUAUUCUUUUCUUUUUUCUUUUUGAGGAGGUAACUAGGUUAAGGCCUAGUAGGUUUUAAUGGAGAAACUUUGCACCACAUUUGGCCUAUUUAUAUAUAGAAAUUAAAUGCAUAUAUGAAAUUAAAUUAAAUAUAUAUUUAAGAAGAGGAUAAUAUUAGUGCAUAUAUGUGUUUUGUUUCAUUGAUUUAAUAAAGGCAUUUUUUCCCAACACCAUGCUUCCUUGACCCACACUUUUGGAAUGAAAACAAAAUCAAAAGUAACUUUUUCUUUUGCUUUGUUUUUAUUGUAAAAGAGACACAAAAAGAAAAAUAAAGAAAACAGUAACUACUACUUUAUAUGGUCUACUAACACCAACUUGUGAUCAUAAACUUUAGGUUUAGCUUACAUUUAUAUUUUAUUUAUUAGGUAUAUGGUGCUAUAAGAUAAUGUUUAAGUUAAUGAUGGAAAAUUAUUUUCAACCAAAAGAUGAAAUUUUCAGUACUUUUUUGGGGGAGAAGUGACAAAGCAAUAGCAAUUAAAUGUUGUAAUUUUGUUUUAUUUAUAGAAGCAAUGAAUUAAUGGUAUUUAGUGAGAGUGAAAUGGUGUGGAUUGCAAAUGGAUGAAAUGAUAAAUGGGUAAUCAAUCAAAUCUGAACAUAGUGGGUGUCGUUGUUUGAUGAACUACUGCCUAAAUCAUUUUGUUUAAUCUAAUGCAUAAUUACGUUUAAAUUAUUCCCUCUCUUUGAUUAUUGACUUCACCAAUAUUUCUACCAAACAAAAAUAGAAGAUGAGAUGUAUUAAUCCACUAAAUGUUCCUUUGGAUUUUAAAGUCUCUAUCUAGUACAAUAAUAAUGACAAUUAUAUAUGUAGAGAGAAGAGUCACACCCUAACAAUUUAAUCGUGAAAGAAAUUAUUAACAUUUUGGGAUAGAUUUGAAUAAUGUUAAAUAUAAUCAUCAAUAUUGAUCCAAAAACUUAAGUUAAUAAGUGCACGUUCUAACGUUCAACAUUAUUAAUAUGAAUUCCUUAGGGUUGCUUGCUCAUGAACAUUUUGUAGUAAAGGAUCUUUCCAAAGAAAAAAAGAUUUGAGAGGUGUGAGAAUUGAUUAUAUAUUAAAGAUGAAAGACAAUUAUCAUAUAUUAAAAAUACUUAGAAUAUUGAUUGAUUUACAUAGUAAAGACAAGAUUAUCAAGGUAUUAAAACACUAAUAUAUACCUUCAAAAUUCCCAAUAAAUCAUACCAAUAUACACAAACAAACAGGAUGAAACGUUAGUUGACUCACCAAUUGAUCAAAAACUACUUUAAGUUUUUUUUAAAAAAAUAAGUAACAACAAAAAUAAAUAUAAAAAUUAGUAUAUUAUUAGAUUAAAAUACUUUGUGAAAGGGAUCUAAUAAUAAGUGGUGACAAAUAUAUUAUUUUAUGGAGUGAUGUAGAAUCAAAUCUAAUGAAGCCCUUAAAAUUAAUAAACACUCACGAGAUCGAUCAUUCAUUGUUUAUAAAAAAUACAUCAUCAUUGUUUAUAUGAAAGCAACUUCUUUCUAUUAUUUUUUAUUCUCCCAUCUCAUCAUUUUGUUGGAUGGGAUCUUAACACAUAUAUACAACAGAUUCUGCCAAUUAGAAUAUCUAUAUAGUUCUUUGAAAACAAAACAUAUAAUUCUAAUCCAAUAUAGUUGACAGACAAGUUUUACCACUCCAACACAAUUUUUUAUAUUAGAAACUUUGGUAACACUCUACUCCCUGUUAUGAUCACUUUCCUACAUAGGAGAAUAAACAUGUAUUUAUGCGUGCCAUUUAGUUGCAUUCAAAUUUUCUCGUGAUAGUUGUUCUUUAUUUUAGAAAUUCAAUUGUCCUAUACAUUGAAAUAGUUUAUAGAAAUGAUGGGUUUCAAUAUGCCUUUGGUUUCAAAUCAUCCUAAUUAGAAACACUUUUAUAAGUUUGAAUGUGCUAAUUAAUUCUUGUUAAAUUCUCUUUUGUAAUUUUAGUUUUGAGAGGUGAGAUUAAAAGGUGUGAGUAAUACUAAAGUUUUGAGAGAGUGUUCUUGUAAUUGAGAUUGGAAAAAGAACUAUUUAUAUUAUGUGUGAUAUAUUAUAACAAUUUUCACACGGUAAACUUCUUUUUAGUUAGUAGGUCAUGGUUUUUUUCUAGGUUAAGAGAUUUUCGUGUAAGCCUUGUGUUUUCUAUUAUUUUCUUUUAAUUUCUAUAUCAUCUUUCUACUUAUUUUGUCAAAGAGAUGAUAGAUUUUUUUUUUCUUCUAACAAUUGGUAUUUCAUAGCCUUAAAUUCAUAGUUUCUUGAAUGUUUGAGUAUACGUUUUAUAGUUACCGCACUAUUUAUAUACUUUCAUGUCACUAUUUAUAUACUUUCAUGUUAGAAAAUCGUAAACACUAAACAUUAAACGUAUUAUGAAUAUUGUGAAUUGGUUCACGCUACUUAUAAAUUAUUUAGAAGUGCAGCAAAUAUACGUUAAUUAGGUUUAUAAGGUGAAUAUGAAAUUUGUCAGUAUAGAAAUGAACUCAACUAAGGAGAACAACUUCAACUUGUACUGAUCAUAAUUGUAUUAUGAAUUAUACAUGAGAAUAAAGAGUGGUAAGUGCAUUGGCCUAAUAUUAUUAUGCAUGCUUUGGUUUAUCAAAAGCCAUAUCAUUACGUUACAACUCAUUAGGCUAUUCAAAAUGAUUCCCAUUUAUUGUUUUAGUUGAGAGGUCAUAUCUAAAAGCAUUUUGAAGGAAUAAUCUCAACCACAAAAGCGAAGCCACUUUUGUGCUUAUCCCAAUACAAAAGGAAAGAAAAACACUUUGCAAUUGCAAUUGAGUUGCAACCCAACUCUUUUCCCAAUAUUAUCUUAUUUAUUUAUUAUUAUUAAUUAGUUAAGUUUGAAUGCAACUUGUUUGUAGUUGCAAACAAAUACUAUAUUAUUUGGCAUUUGUUAUAUAUUUGUUUUGAUAAUCAUUUAAACUAUUAGAACACAGUUCUAUACAACUAAUAAGUGAUGAUCACCAUUAGACAUUUAGGAGAGAUUUGUAGUGCGAAAGUUUAAGAACCUAUAGUUUAAAAAUGGUAAUGUAUAGGAAAUCUACAAUUCUGGAGAUAACUAGACAUAGUAAAAAAUUUAAGAAUCUCUAGUUCCUUUACAAUUAUCAUGAUUAUAUGUAUAUCUAAUCAUCCAAAUUAGUUCUAGAGUAGUACUUAGCUUCAAUGUAUAACUAGUAUUAGUCCACGUGAUAUAGCAUUAGAUCAAUAGUUUAGUGCUUUUUCAAAGAAAUUAAAAAUGGUUGAUAAGAGACGAAUAAAUUGAUAGAUAAUCAUAACUAUUAAUUUUAUUUCUUGCUCCUUUUUUCUAACCACCACUCACUUUAAAAAUUGACAUAUGUUUCUUUUUCGAUAUAGACAAGGCAUUAUUAGUUCAAUCUAUAUAUUUAAGUUAGCAUGGUUUAUUCUUAACUCAAUCAUAUAAACAUGGAAAUAAUCUUUCACCCUAUACUUACCUAGAAAUUUAAUUCAUAUUAGUACCUAUAAUAUAGGUAUUUCAAAAUCAAUAAAGGGAAGAAUAAUGAAUUGAAAAUCCCAUCAUUAGUUCAUCUUGUUUUCAAUCCUUACAUAAAAUUGACACAAUAUCCUAGCAUGCAUUUAAUCUUUCUUAUUGAUUUUAAAAGUCUAAUUUAUUUUAUAACAUUUAUAAAAACUUUUAGACUUAAUCAAUCAUUUUAUCAAUAUAUAACCUUAUAAAAACAUUCAAUUAAUAUGGAUUUUAAUUUAUUUAACUUUAAUUAAAUCAUAUUUAAUUUUAAUUUAAUUAAAUCAUAUUUAAUUAAAUUAAAUCAAACAAUAACUAAUUAAUUUGAUUAAAUCAUAUUUAAUCAAGAAUAACUUAAUUAAUUAAUCAUAUUAAUUAAUUUCCAUAUUAAUCAAUUAACAUGCAUACAAUACAAUAUAACAUUUAUAUUAUACAUUUUAAUGCAUGAACAUGUUAACCUAUGGUGGGAUUUUAAAUCUAUAUGACAUUCAAAAUGCACAUACAAAUUUAAAGUAAUUUAAUCAUACAUCACAUGCAUAAAUAAAAAAACACCCUAAAAUGGACUGAUUUUUGGCUCCUAAAUUAAGUUAAGUACUAAAUUAUUACAUAAUUAAUUUGGUGUAGUACAGAACCACUCCCAAAAACUUCGAACCGGCUGAAAAACUAACCGAAACCCCUUGAACCGGCCCAAAAACCAAAUUUAUUGGCUUGAACCGGCCCAAUUAACUAAACAGGCCCAGGCGCACACGGGUCGGGCGCAGGCGGGCGCGGCGGGACAGGCAGGAGGGCGCGCGGCGCAGGAGGGCGCACGGGCGCAUGCGGGCGCGCGGCACAGGCGGGCGCGCGGGCACAGGCGGGCGCAGGAGGGGCGCGCGGCGCGUGGGACGCAGGCGGGUCGCGCAUCGGGUCAUGACCGGGUUUUCGGGUCUGUGACCUUCUUUUCUUCAUUUUUUUUCAAUUCUCUCACCCGGUUGAACCCGUUACAGCCUAACUUCAACUCUAAUGACUUUUUUAGUUUUUAAAAAAUUACAAACACUUUGCAACAAUAAAAAUAAGCCAUUAACAAGGCUAAUUACAAUAAUUAGAACAAAAACACUUAAUCUAGAGCCAAAUUCAUAAUAUAUCCAUUUUAGUUCAAACCAAAAUUUAUCUAAUAAAUAUGAACCCACCACAUACAAUUGGGUAAAAAUGAAGCAUGCUCUGAAACCACAUGUACCAACUUGAUCACCACAAGUCCCAACUUGAUCACCACAAGUCCCAACUUGAUCAUUGAUGGUACUUGUGGUGAUCAAUGAUCAAGUUGGGACUUGUGGUGAUCAAGUUGGGACUUGUGGUGAUCAAGUUGGGACAUGUGGUUUCAAAGCAUGCUUCAUUUUUACCCAAUUGCAUGUGGUGGGUUCAUAUUUAUUAGAUAAAUUUUGGUUUGAAAGUAAUGGAGAUAAAAUGGGAUUGGAAGGUUUCUUUUUUCUUUUGUUGAGAUGAUGAAAAUGAUAAAAGAGGCAAAAGUUCUUCAACAUUUGAAAACACCUCUAUUUAUAACCUAAUUACAUGCAAAAAUGCAUGUAAUUCAUUUGCCAAAUCUCAACACCUAAUGUUCCACUAACAAUUAGUGGGCUAGGUGUCUAUAUCUCAUAUAGCCACAUAUCCCACUAAGAGUUAGUGGGAUUAUCCAACAAAAUGUUGGAUUUUUCCACUAACUUAGUCCAAGGGUAAAAUGGUCAUUAGAUAUUUCUAGUCAAAAGUCAAACUUUGACUUUUCUAAGUCAAAAGUCAAUAUUUUGACUUUUUACCAUUUUGUCCGUCUUGACUAAUUCCAACCUCCCGAGCAUGAAUCCGCAUUCAUUUUUCCAAAAUUCAAAUCACAUUUGAAUAUAAGGCCGGUCAAAGUUUGACCUUUUCAAAGUCAAAAGUCAACAUUUUGACUUUUUACUAUUUUUGACCAAUUCCAUCAAUUCUGAGCUUCUUAGUAUGAAUCCGCAUUCAUACUUAUAGUAUGUAAAACAUAAAGCUCUAUUUCUAAUUAGAAGACCGACGACUAUAUCACUAUAUUUGUCGGUUUCCCUUUCUUCUCCCAAUUCGAAACAAUUCGAGCUUAUUUCAUCACACUGUUCUAAGUUUAAUCCAUAUGAGCUAGCAGAGGAACCUAAUGGACCUAUAGAUCAUGGGCUCCAACGAUUCAAGAUUAACUAGCUAAACUCUUUUAAACCGAGUUAAUCAACAUUCGUUAACUAACGGGUCAUUCCACUAAAGUCCCGUAGUUGCACUCCCCUCACUAUAGAUAUAUUUGUGUCCAUUUGAUAAAACCAUAAUCAGUAAGUUAAUCCUUCACAGGUUGCUCGUAACCUUGGCUGGGUCAAAAUACCGUUUUACCCCCAAGAUUACAUCUUGCUCCUUAAGUCCCACUAAUCCACUAUUGAACAAUUGGUUUAAGGUUCAACCUAUAAACUUAAUCCCUCUCGGGCCAAUGAGAGGGUGGGGCCCCUUGUUCAAGACUUGGAUUCAGUGCUUAAGAGAGCAACCUAUCUACUAACCCUAAAGCGGGUAGGAGUGAAUUCCAUCUUGUACCCUAUGUUCCCAGCUAUCCACCGAUCUUACCCCUGAAAUGGGAGGCUUAUUGGGCCAACGCUGAUGAGCUGCCCUCACCUAUGCAGAUCUAAGGAUAAUCUCGUGUGAACAGGAGUUCAUAGUUAACUCAGGAUUAAGACUAAGUUACCUAGGUCAUCAAUAAUUGAGAUAGUCAGUUUUAAACAGUAAACGGUGUUAUAACGUAAAAAUGACUAAUUCAUGGUUCAGUCUUAUGUAAACAUUUUACAUAGGAUGCCCCCACUUUCAUGUCUCUACAUGAACGAUUAGGAUCACCUCGUUUGUACUACAAAGUGGGCCGCAUCCAUAGUUUCUCUAAAUAAGGCGCCCAACCUUUAUUUCAUAUACUAUAGACUAUUUAGGCUAUAUACUCGAACUUGAUCCACGUUUAUGUUUACACAUAAAGUUCAAGUUUAUUCAAAAAAUAGCCUUGGAACUUGAUUUAUUGGAUUUAAGAUUAUAAUAUUUAAUUUCUCAAUAACAACUUUAUUGAACAGAAUAUGAUUUACAAACUACGAGUUUUAGGACAAAAAAUUCCAACACUAAAGAGGUGCAAGAUAAAAAUAAAACAAUUAAACCCUUCAAAAACAAGUUUUGGGAUAAAAAAAAUGAGUAUGUGGCAUCACUGGUCACUUUUUGUGGAAAUUUUUUUCAAUAUUAUUCAAAAUGAGACUAUCUAGUAGUCAGAUUUGAAUUUUCGAUACUUUUCACAUUGUUCUAAAUUGGGUCGUUUCUUUGUAAGCUAUAGCAUGGACAUUUUUAGAACCGUUUUGGGUGCUACCAUAAUACAUCACUAAGGAGCACCAGUCUCGACCAUUAUGCAAUUUUCUGUGUCAUAGAGUAAUGCAAAAGAUAGGAUGUCGCACUUAUCAACCCACAAUCAUUGAGUUAAAGAGGUGCAAGAUAAAAACAAAAAAAAAAAUUAAAAUAAACGCUUCGAAGACAAGUUUUGGGACAAAAAUAAAACAUGAGUCUUAGAGCAUCAUGGAUCAGGUUUUAGUUUUUGUGGGGAAAAAAACUUUAAUAUUACUCAAAAUGACACAAUCUAGUAGUUAGAUGUGAAUUUUCGAAACUUUUUAACAUUGUUCUAAAUUGGGUCGAUCCCAAUUAAUUUUCUACUUUGUAACAAUGUUUCAUUUAUGUCAAUGGUUAGGUUGGAACAAGAUAUAAGCGUUAGGUAUGAAAACGGGUCAUGUUUGUUUAUUUUUCUAGAAAAAAAAAAUUGACAUAAUCCAACUCAAAUUUGGUUUCACAAAGAAGUUGUUCGACUUGACUCGGAAAAAAAUUAGAAACAAAGAGGAAGACCUUGAACAACCUAAAUUUGAUAGAAUUUAGGUAAUGAAAAUGAUUUGAAGAUCCAUGAAUGUGAAGGGCAGCUCAAUUAGAUAUGAAGUACAUAAUGAUCAUGUUGAUUAUUAUUGCAUGCAUUUAGGUUUGAAAACCAUGAAGUAUUGAGAAAACAUAAAAGUGAAAUUCAAAGUUUAAUUUGGAUGAUUGGAUGUUUUUGUUGAAUAUGAUUUGGGAUAGACACUAUUUUUCCACCUCUCUUAAUUCAUCAUUCGCCAAAUGGCUACACAAUUAUAUACAUCCAAUAUAUAAGAGAUAUAUAAUGAUGAACAAUGUUUCAACUUUAAUUAAAGUGAUGGAAUCAUGGAAAUAUAUGUAAGAACGAUGAGUUCGCAUGCCAAAUUGCCAUAAACCACUCCAUCUUCAUUGAUUUCAUAAGUUAUAUGAUAACCUUUUCUUUUUCUGUUUUUCAUUUUUUACUAUAGAUUUUUUAAAUUAUUAAUUUCAUUUUUCGUUUUCAAUUUUUGAAAAGAAUAAACAUUAGUAAGAUUGAAGAUAAACCCAAAUAAACAUUGGCCCAACAUAAGAUAAAACCCCAUUAUUAGCAAAAUGGGCUCAUAUGGGCUGUAAGCUUAUAAGGGUAACUACCCACGUGGGUCAUGUCUAUCGUGCGGUCAGCCGUCAACUCCAUAAUGGGUUGGAAUCUUUUUGGAUCUGGGCUAAUUGGGCCAAUUGGGUUUGCUCCAUUUAUCUUUAAAGCUAUGUUUGCUCCAUUUGAGUCUUGCACUCAUCCGUAUAACUCCAAAAGGCACUUGAGGCUUCUAAAGCUAGCUAGAUUUUCUCUAUCAAUAAACAAACUUGAAGACAAAGUUAGUAAAUUGGAUUAAGUGAUUUUAGUUUCAUUAGAGUGACCUAAAGUAAAAAAGUAGGAGAUGAGAUCUUCUGGUUUAGGGAUACACAGAGUCGUCCUAAGAUUGAUUUUGUGGAGUGAGUGGGCAUCCCAUUGGGUUUAACCAAACAACAUCUAGAGAUGUGAGAAAGGGUUGAAAUAGUUGGAUGGAAGAAAGAGAGAUGAAUGGAAAGGAAGUAAGUAUUCACGGGGUAACAAAAGUUUGAUAUUAUUAAAAAAGAAAAAGAAAACAAAGAGUUGAAAACAUGGAAAUGAGUUGUAAGGAAGGAGUGAUGGAAAAGUUUGGUUGGGUACCCAUUGACCACAAAACAAUGGUUCACGGGUGCCUUUACACUCUCUCACUACAUCCUUUUUUUAAUCACACAUUCCAACAAACACUAAGGCCAUUUUUCUUUUAACAAACAUAUACAAUUUACAUUAUUGAUAUCUUUUCAAUAUUUAACACAAUAUUAUAUAUAUAUAUAUAUGAAAAUUUGUAUGGAUGAAAAAUGAAUCAUAACGAAAUCAAUUUAUUUAACUAUUUUAAAAAAAACAUUAAUUUCAAAUAAAAACAAAGGAAAGAAAAUUGAUGUAUAAUUUCCACACAUAAAUAGUUUUAGGGCAAAGGACAAAAUAGAAAUAGGUAACUUUUGAGGACAACCAAGCAAUUUUUGAAAAAGUGAAGAAGAGCUGAAUCUUCUCUUUUGCUCUCAUCCACAAAAAAGAUUUGCCCAUUUUUUUCAUCUAUUUUUCCUUCAAUUUUAACCUUUUGUUUGAAUAGGAAUUAAUUCUCCACCACACAAAAUAAUGAAAAGCUCAUAAAUCCAAAUGCCUUUCUUACAAAAAUAUAAUAACACUAAUCACCCUUCAAUUUUUGUGGUCCACUAGUUUUGCAUGUAAAUCCAAAUCUUUGGACCCAUGGGGUGGAAAAAUUGAAUAAAUAUCUAAAUUUUUAACAUACUUUAUACUAAAUAUCAAUUCAUACAAAAAUAGAUUAUAAAUGUAAAGGAGUACUGUAUAGAAUAGAGAAACACCUCAAAUUAACUACAUAAUUUUAAUUAACAUUUAAGUUAACUAUACAUUAUUGUUUACUACAUGUAACAUUAAUACAUAAUAGAGAGAAAGUUUACCAAAAGAAUGUAAAUUGAACUUAUGGGUUCACUUGCAUGGUAAAAUUAGUAGUUACAAAGUAAAAAUGUUAUUAUUAUCAUCCCUAUUAAUAAACCUUUCUUGUUGGCUAAAAUAAUAACAAAGACAUGAUUGAGUAUUAAUUUAGGAAACCACAUAAUAAAAGUGCUAAGAAAUAGAAGGGAUAUGUUAUAUUACUUUAUAGUAUUGAAUCAAUUAUAAAGGUGAAUGACAAAAAAUAAUGGAGUUAGAUUAGAGUAAUGUAUGGUCAUAUGUACUUAAUAAUUAAUUAUUCUUUUACAUUAUGUCAUGUUUUUAUUUAUUUAUUUAUUUUUUUUUGGUCCAAUUCAUCUAAUUAUCAAUACAUUAAACUUAAUUAUUCAAGUUCCUUUUGACAUUAAAACUCAUCAUUUUAACUCUAUGAAAGGAUUUGGAUGAAAUGUGCAGUUGUAAGAUUCCUUACCAUAUCAAUUAGCUAUUUGUAUUUUUAAUUUGAUAGGAUGAUGUAAUUAUCAUUCUACUACAUAAUAAUACAAUUGAAUGAAGAUUGAUACAAACAAAAAGUAGUUGCAAAUAUAGCAAUCAAACCUAAACAAUAACUCAUCAUCUUUCAGUCUCUAAUAAGUUUGAAGUAGUAAGAAAAAAGAAAAGAAAUGAAAUGAAAAAACAAAACACUAAGAAUAAUUAUAUUUAAAGAAGAGAUAGAAUGCCAAUGUUGGCAUAUUGAGAGAGAGAGAGAGAAUGAGAAUGUGAAGAAAACAGUGUGUGUGUGUGUGUGUGUUUAAGGGCUUAGAAAGAAAGCAGUGAGCUGAGUUAGUAAGAAAAACCCAAAUCAGAAGAAGAUAACUGAAAUGAAGAAGCAAGAAGAAGAACAACAUCAAGAACAAGAAGGAUGCGACAUUGAAGCCAUAGGAAUCACCUACAAGAUUCAAAUCCAUAACUCCAAAUCCCCAUUUCUCAACUUCUUCUCCACCUCAAAACCCUCCCUCCGCCAUCGCCAUGUCCUUUCCGACGUCAAUUGCCAAGCCAAAUCCUCCCAAAUCCUUGCCAUUGUCGGCCCCAGCGGUGCCGGAAAAUCCACUCUCCUCCAAAUCCUCGCCGGCAAAACCACCCCUCACGGCGGCUCCCUCCUUCUCAACCACCUCGCCGUCGACCCUUCCUAUAUCAACCGAAUCUCCGGCUACGUCCCUCAAAAAGACUCCCUUUUCCCUCUCCUCACUGUCGAAGAAACUCUGACCUUCACCGCCCGCCUCCGUCUCUCCCUCCCUUCUGCCGUCCUCACCGCCAAGGUUACUUCUCUGAUCGACGAACUCGGUCUGACCCAUGUCGCCCGUUCCCGAGUCGGCGACGACCGAGUCCGUGGAAUCUCUGGCGGCGAGCGGCGGCGGGUUUCAAUCGGCGUGGAAGUGAUUCACGACCCCAAAGUUCUUAUUCUUGACGAACCCACUUCCGGUCUCGACAGCACUUCCGCUUUUCAGAUCAUCGACAUGCUGAAAACAACCAUGGCUGAAGCUCAGCGAAGAACCAUCAUUCUUAGCAUCCAUCAACCUGGAUUCAGAAUCGUGAAGCUUUUCGAUUCCAUUCUUCUUCUUUCCAAUGGCUCUGUUUUACACCAUGGCUCUGUCGAACAUCUCGGACUCAACCUCACUCUAAUCGGCCUUCAACCUCCUCUUCAUCUCAACAUUCUCGAAUUCGCCAUUGAAUCCAUCGAAACAAUCCAACAAACCCCAAAUCAAACCCAAUUGUUAAUCCCUCACUCCCAAUUAAAACCCCCUAAAUUCACCCUGCAACAGCUAUUUCAACAAUCCAAAGUCAUCGACGAGGACACCAUCAAAAUCGGAAUCCACAAAUCAAUCCCUCACCAUUUCGCCAAUUCCCCAUUCAAAGAAACGGCCAUCCUCAUGCACAGAUUCUCCAAGAACAUAAUCAGAACAAAGGAGCUUUUCGGUUGCAGAACAGUACAAAUGUUGGUAACAGGGCUUGUUCUUGGUUCAAUUUUCUACAAUCUCAAAUUCGAUUUAAUUGGUGCUGAAGAACGCGUGGGGUUAUUCGCCUUCAUUCUCACAUUCCUAUUAACAACCUCGAUCGAAGCCCUCCCAAUUUUCUUACAAGAAAGAGAGAUUCUAAUGAAAGAAACCUCCUCAGGUAGUUACAGAGUAUCCUCAUACGCCAUAGCCAACGGAUUAGUAUACCUUCCGUUUCUACUAAUCUUAGCAAUUCUGUUCUCAAUUCCAUUAUACUGGCUAGUGGGGCUUAACAGAAACAUAAUAGCGUUUCUUCAUUUCAUGCUGUUGAUAUGGCUGAUUCUAUACACAGCAAAUUCAGUGGUGGUUUGUUUCAGUGCAUUAGUGCCAAAUUUCAUAGUGGGGAACUCAGUGAUAUCGGGGGUAAUGGGUUCGUUCUUCCUGUUCUCGGGGUAUUUCAUAUCGAACCAGGAAAUACCAAAGUAUUGGAUAUUUAUGCAUUACAUAUCAGUGUUUAAGUACCCAUUUGAAGGGUUUUUGAUAAAUGAGUUUUCGAGAUCAGGGAAGUGUUUGGAAAUGAUGUUUGGGGAAUGUGUAGUGAGAGGAGAGGAUGUGCUGAAGGAAGAAGGAUACGGGGAAGAAAGUAGGUGGAGAAAUGUAAUGGUAAUGGUGGGGUUUGUUUUGAUCUAUAGAUUUGUUUCUUAUGUUAUUCUUAGAUGUCGAUGCUGCAGGAAAACUGGUUUUGUUUAACAGAAAUGAAGAAGAACGAAGAUGAAGAAGAUGAAGAAGAUUGAAGAUCGAAGAAGAAGAAUAAGGACAAAAAAAAAUCUCUCUCUUCACGAGUUUGGAUUUGAAAGAUGCUCUUAGUUCACGUGGUAGUUUUAAUUGUAGCCAAAGGUUAUACUCACACGUGUUUCUUUGUUCUUUCGGAUUUUUAUUUUUAUUUUUUGCCCUUUCUCUCUAACUAUAUAUAUAUAUAUAAUAUAUGUAAAAUUUUCUUUUAAAUUAACAAUUUGGUGUGUGGUUUGUUCAUCUAAGUUCAAAUUUAUUCAACCAAUUAUUUAGUAGAGAAAAGCUUAAAUGGUGAAAGUGAUUUUAAGUAAUCAAAAUUUCUUCUUACAAAAAUUGUGAAGUAUCAUGAAUAUUUCUUUUACAUAAUUCUUUUCUUCGGUAAAAGAUAAGUUCAGGUUAAACAAAACUAUUUUUUUAUUUAUUUGCCAAAUAUGAUAUUUAACAUAUUAUUACUUAUGAAACACAAAUAAAAGAAAGAAAGAAAAAAAGAUCUGUAAACAUAGAUUCAGAAAUCCAUAUUAAUAGAGAUAAAUCGUGUUAAUACCAUUAAAACAUACAUGCUUUGAAAGAACUAAUUUCAAAUGUUAGUUGUUUUAGGAAAAGAACAAGCAAAACCGAGAACAAUGACUAAGCAAACAAAACGUAGAUCCAAUCACAACUUUCAUAUAUGCGUGAGUAGUGUCACCUCAUUUCAACAACAAUCAUGGUUCAAGAUUUGAUUUAACUAACAAUUCUAUUCAUCACUCCCUAACUAUAGAAUCACCAAUUCAAUCAAUUAUAUCACCAUCAAAGAAAGAAAAAAAAUGGUAAAAAGUAUUUUUAUUUUUGAAUAAUUGAAAUGCUCCAUAGUUUUCAACCUUUAAUAGUUUAUUUAACAAAAAUUGUAAAACAUAGAAAUAUAUUCUAAAUAAAAUAAACGACAUAUAUCUCACAACUCCACCUUAACAAAUUUAACACUUGAAAAUAAACAUCAUGAAUGAAGACUAAAAAUCCAAACUUUCAAAAUUAAUAAAAAAAAUUCUCAAAUUUGAAUGAUUUUUAGAAAAGCUCUACAAAUAGUGUCUCUUCCCAAACUCGGUUAUUCCAAUUCUUUUUCUUUACCGUUAUUUUCCCCCUUCUUCAUCAAUAAUUUAUAAAACACUCUCCCAAAUUCCAUCCCCACCCCAUCCCUUCUUCUAUAAAACAAUGGACAAACACACGGUAACCUCCGAUGAACUUCUCGGAAUCAAAAUCUACACCGAAGAACACGCCAACGGCGGUGGGCGGAAAAGACGAGCAAUGGCAAAAGGAAUGCAAAAAACACGCUCAAAAACCUCAAUGCUAGCUAGUAAACUUCCUUCCAACCGGCACUCUCCUAACCUUCGAAAUGCUUCUGCCGUCGGUCUCCGGCAAGGGGGAGUGCACGCGGGUGAACACGAUGAUGAUAUAUAAACUUCCUCUUGGGCUUAUGCGCUUCUAUCCUGUUUCUUGUUUCACUUCACAGACAGUUUCAAAUUAGGCGUGGACGGGAAAGUUUAUUACGGGAUCGUGACGCGGAGAGGGCUGGCGGUGUUCAAGACGGGGUUGAGUGAGGUGGAAGUGGCGAAGGAGGAGAGGUUAUGGAAAGCUUUCCUUUGAUGGUGGGAAGCAUUUGUAGUGCUUUGUUUUUGGUGUUUCCUAAUACUAUAUAUUAUAUGGUAUUGGUUGUAUGGCUAAUUGACUCUAUUACCCCCCACCUUUUUUUUCUUUUUCUUAAUUGUUAGGAUUUUUUUAAUAAUUAUUAUUCUAAUUUUACUAAACUAUAAUCACCAAUUCAAUCAAUUAUAUCUAUAAAAGAAGAAAAAAAUUGGUUAUAUCUAUAAAAGAAGAAAAAAAAUUGGUUGUAUGGUCGUGUAUGUUGCCAUGGCCUUUGUUAAUUCUUCGAAACUAGAAAGAACAAAGAUCUCACAUAUUCAUACAGGUGGAAAAGAUAGAAACAUGCAUCGUUUUGAUUGAAACUUCUUUUAUUGAUAGAGGACGAAAAAACAAAUACAAGUAGUCAUACACCUAAAAAACGAUCAUCCAAAUCAAAAGAUAUGACCUAGAAACUAUCCAUUUCUCAUGUGUCGUCAAAUUUUGCCUAAUUGCUUCUUAGAGAUAGUUUGUUUUAGCUCCAUUUUCGUCCUUACACUCAAUUGUGCUUCUUUGAUGCUUAAAACCAGUAAAAUAAUCAAACAUAAUAAGAACCUAGAAUUAAGUGAAGCUAGAUAACAUAUUUAUGGUGCUAUCAUUUAUUUACCAUUUCACACUAUAAUUUUAUUAUUUCUAGUUUAUCUUACCAAGCCAGUGUCAAUUUUCUUUUCUCAUUCUCAAUGUUCUUUUAUUUGCUUCAAAAAUUCAAUUUGAAAAAAAAAAAUGUGAGAAAGUUGAGAAUUGAAGAGGAAAAAAAAGAACAAAAUUAGUUUUUUUUUUUGUUUAUUUGAUUAAUUAAUUCAAGAAUGUUGAUUAUGUUUGAGUAUUGACAUGAAAUAUUUAUCGAAAAAUUAGGAAGAAUUUUCAUCAUUUGUUGAAAUCAAAGUAAGGCUCUCUCUAAAAGUGCUUGUAAAAUUUGGUAACAAAAUAGGGUUUAAACCAAAAGAUUAUAAAAGAAGAAAAAAUAAUAAUUACUAAUAAUUAAUUAACAUUGUUGGGGCAGCCCAAAGAACGGUUGUGACCUCCAUUGCAGAAACAGAAGAACAAAGCUCAUUUGGUUGUAAAACCAAUAGAACGAAUCGAAAGCCUCCCUUGAGAGUUAUACAGUUGAAAAUGGAGCUUCAAGAUUUUGCGCCAAUUUUUGGUAAACCCACCAGAGUGGAGUGGGUAAACAGGGGUUCACUUUCUUUGCUCCAAUUUUUGUUCCAUGUUUAUUCUCCAAAUCCUUCGCACCUCAGAUUUCUUGUUACUGAUUUUCAUUCUAACACUUGGGAAUCCACCAAAUCAGCUUUCCAGCUUGAGGAUAUGGUGGGCAUCUUUGAUUUCUCCCUGUACGUCGUCUCUUUGUUGCAUCCUUCUUCUUUGAUUUCUAUUAAUAUGUUGUUCUUGCUUCUUUUUUUCCUCUUAGCAAAUGAUGAAAUGGGAUUGUUUUUUAGAAUUUGUUGGUGCGAAAAGCUCUACUAUUUUAUGUAAUCUUUGAUACAGAGAGAUGACAUUGGAAUUGGAGGGGCUUUUUCAGAGUUUGUUGAUUAUAUUGUUGCAUCUAUGAAAUUUGGAGAUGUAAGGCUUUGUAUGGAAGGACAAUCGGGGAAAGAUGGUAAUCUUCCUGAUAUGUAACUAAUUCAAAUUCUCUUUCCCAUUCAAUAUAUUGUGAAACUCACUCCUUUUUUUAUUAUUCUACAGGUGCAGCAUCUGUCAAACUAAUUGCUCAGAAAUCAAAGGGAAUGCCUGUAUUUUCCAUUUCUCUCACAAAACUUGUUGACUCUGCUGCUGCUGAAGCUAUGGCAACUAUGUCCUUGGGGCUUUUUAACUCAUUAAAAGAAAAGGAGUGUUCACUUAUGAAAGGUUUUCAUCGCUUAUCUAUAGACUGCCUAUAUUCUGUGCUAUAGUCAUCAAAUAUGUCGAUAUCGUUUGGUUAGAAAAAAAAAGAAUACAUUUUUAUAGUGUUUGAACAGAAGGAAAGAUGUUGGAGGUUCUUAUGAAAUAUAGUGAUCGGGUGGGCUCAGUGUGUGGAUCAUUCUAAUUAGAUGGAAGGAUAGGCAUCUUUAGUUUCUUUUCCCUUUUUGUUCCAUCUAGAUUUUGGUAUUUGGCUUUCAUUUCUCUCAAAUAACUUCUCACAGCAUUCUACAAAAUUGUUUGGUAUUUUGUUAAGGCCUUAGCCACAAUUUUAUUUAUCAACUAUGGGGAAGGAUUUGAGAGUUCCCCAAUCUCUCCACACUACUCUAAUGAGAGUCUAUACCAAAAUCAUUUAGCCAAAAAGAUACCCACCCCCAACAUUCACAAUACCUAAAUAGGCAAACUCUAAGAAAGCUAACAGAAUACUUGGCCCCACUUUAACAGUCAUACUCCUAAGGGCCCACCUUACGGGAAAUUACUAACUAACUCUCAAUCAUUCUUUCUUCUUCCCACUUUUAUUCCUAUGUGAAUACACCUUUACUAUGGGGGGUCUAUCAAAUUUGUAUCUGAACAUUGGCAUGUUGCAUUUUUUGUUAUGAAUUAUGCAUAUACAAAAUAAUUGUCUUAUAUUCAAAUGGAUAUAUUAGAAUGUGUCAACUCUCCGGUGUGUCUGUGAACUUUAAGAAUACCUAAUUUUGGUUCCAUUCGUAUGUGAUGGGCCAAUCCAGUCAAGCUGAUUUGAAGUAGGGAAAUAAACACAGUACUCUCAAUCAAAUCUGUCUUGGGAAGCUGUUUCUUUUUAGUCUCCCAUUGGUGUGGUUUUGUAGGACUGACUCAAAUAUCAUGUGCGAACUGCUUGAAAAUGUUUGUACUUGAAAAUUACUUUGUUUAGACUUUAGGGUACCGUGUUUAUUGAACAACAAACUACGUGAUGUACAUGGUUUUAGUUUUUCUUUCUUUAUUAUUAUUAUUUUUUUUUGGUAACUGUGAUAGCAUAGUUUGAUGUAAUAUUCAUUUAUAGGUUAAAUUUAGAACAAGAUUUUUCUCAGAAAUGUUCAAUUUUUUGCAUGCUUGCAUUGAAACUUAGCAUCUGUAGCAUUGACUUUUCUCCUAUACUGUUCUUUCAGAACAAGAGCACUCCCUUCAGUUGACAACCAUGAUAUCAACUGAAAAGGUAUAUCCAUCUUCGUCUUGCACCACUGUAAAUAAAUAUGAUACAUGGUGAUGGGCACUUUUAGUUUUAUACUUAUCGAUAGACUUCAUUAAUAAAUACAUUUAAUAAUACACAAUAUAACGAUAACAAGAUUUCUUCUGAUUUCUUCUCUUCCACAGCCUCUCUUAUAUAUCAGAACUCAAACAGUUUACUCUAGUCAAUACUGUUCCCUGUUAUUAGUCUGCAUAUGUUUUGUUAAUUUUUACUUCCUUUGAAACUUUAUUUAUUAAAUGUUAAUAAGAAAAAAGAUUAAAAAUUAAAAAUGAAGAACACGGAUGUUCUUUAUGUCUCACUUAUUCUUUCAUUAUAUAUGACCUCAUGUAACUUUGUUAGCCAUUUCUUGGUUGAAAAACAUUUUCCAUUACAAUACCAAUUGCUUCCUUAUCCCCUAUGGAUUCAACUCAUGGGUCUUUGAGUUUCUCUAUUUUUGUAUUAAACAUUUCUUAUUUGAGAUUAUACUUUUUGUUGAUGUCAGGAAAAGAACGAAAAUAUCCAAACUCAGCUCGGGCAAUAUAGAAAGAAACAGAAGUUACAAAAUAUGAAUGCCUCAAAUUCUCCUGGUAUGUUCCUAUAAUCAAUCCAUUUAAGGUAUUAUGAAAUUAUAUGUUAUGUACUAAAGGACUGAUCGAUUUUUUCCGUUCUUCACAGAUAAAUCUGGCGUACAUAAUAUUGGCUUGACAAAAGCCACCAAUCGUGUGGUGCCAGUACACCGGAGGUCGGUUUCUCAAAGUUACAUUCAUCACAUAAUUCAAUUGAUUUAUUCCCAAUACUAAUAGAUGUACUUAGCAUUGUAUUUGAACAGGGCGAAAGCUAGGGGUGCCCUUCUGCAAGACUCUGAAGAUGACAAUGGUAGGUAGAGAAGUUGAAUGUCUUGUAUCCAAUCUAGUUUUGUACAGAAUUUUGAUUUCUGAAAAGCUGCUCUAGCCAAUCACUCUCUUCCCUUUGAAUGGAGAAAAAAAAUCCCGUGGUAUUGAGUUCCUCAAUGGUUUGCUUAAAAAGGAACAGGAAAUCCUUGUUUAGGGUCAAGAGGCUAUCUCCCUGUCGUUAUCCCAAAGCUUUAAAACUUUUGUUUCUUCCAUGCAAGUUUUACUUUCUAGCACAUCCACGUUAAAUGAUCUCAUUUUUUCAUAUAUUUUCUUUUAAUCUACACUAAUAGAGAUGUUCCUUCCAUUUUUUUCCCAUUUUUUCUUACAGAAAAAGAGCGCUCCCUUCAGUCGACAUUCGAGGAAAAGGUAUAUUCAGUCUCCUGUCCCCUUUAUGAAUAAAGCACUUUGUCCUUUUAUAGACGGGUUCUUAUUGUCUUGAAAUACCUCAAAAUUAGUACAAGUAUGACCAUAGUCGUGGUGUAUUUUUGGUGCCUUCGGAGCGUAUUUUCAUCUUGCUCAUUAAUUGUUUGUAAAUUUUUUAAUCUACUUUUGAAUAUGUCAGGAAAAGAAAGAGGGGUUGCUAAAUACAGAUACCUUGGCCAUUGUAGACAAUCUUCAUAAGCCUCCUAGUAUGUUUUUUAUGGUUCCCUCUAAAAUUUAAGCUUAUUUGUUUUUAUUGAAAAGAGAGACAACGAGUUCACACCAAUUUACGUGGAAACUCGAGUACCGGGAGAAAAACCACGAUUGUUUGUUGUUAUUAUUUUCUAAUGAAUAAAACAAUAGGUACAGGGAGAAUAAAUAGAGUACACAAUGGAAUAAAAAAGGAAAAGAUUUAGGAAAAUAAGGAAUACAUUCCCAUAAUCUUUCCAUAAUUAUUCUAGGAUUCUAACAAGGAAAAAGCCUAGAAAAAAAGGAAAGAAUUCCAACACUCCCCCUCAAGUUGGGACGUAAAUAUCAAUGAGGCCCAACUUGCUAACGCAAAGUCGAAGUUUGGUCUGAGAAGCCCUUUGGUAAGAACAUCAGCAACCUGUUGACUCGAAGGGAUGUACGGAAUGCAUAUGCUCCCACUGUCAAGUUUUUCUUUGAUAAAAUGUCGAUCAAUCUCAACAUGUUUAGUUCUAUCAUGUUGAACAGGGUUGUUAGCAAUACUAAUAGCGGCUUUAUUAUCACAGAAAAGCUUCAAUGGUGUCUCACAUUCCUGAUGAAGAUCUGUCAAAACUUUCUGAAGCCAAAUUUCCUCACAUAUUCCUAAACUCAUAGCUCUGUAUUCAGCCUCAGCGCUGCUCCUGGCCACAACACUUUGCUUCUUACUCCUCCAAGUUACAAGAUUGCCCCAAACAAAGGUACAAUAACCAGAGGUAGAUUUUCUGUCAACAACAGAUCCUGCCCAAUCCGAGUCAGUGUAUGCCUCAAUGGUCUUUCUGUCUGUUUUUCUAAACAUCAGCCCUUUACCAGGUGUUGAUUUUAAGUAUCUCAAGAUUCUGUUGACAGCUUUCAUGUGUUCCUCAUUAGGGGUCUGCAUAAACUGGCUGACAACACUCACAGCAAAGGAAAUAUCAGGACGAGUAUGAGAUAAGUAAAUUAAUUUACCCACGAGGCGUUGAUACUGUUCUUUAUCAACUGGAACUUGAUCAUCAGAGUUUCCUAGUUUGCAGUUGAAUUCAAUAGGAGUGUCAGUGGGACGACAUCCUAACAUACCUGUCUCGGUUAACAAAUCAAGGAUGUAUUUUCUUUGAGAUACGGAGAUACCUUCUUUAGAUCUGGCCACCUCCAUUCCAAGGAAAUAUUUCAAAUUUCCCAAAUCCUUGAUUUCAAACUCAUCGCCCAUUCUCUGCUUUAGUUGACUGAUUUCUGCCUGAUCAUCUCCAGUCAAAACAAUGUCAUCCACAUAAACUAUUAGAACAGCAAUCUUUCCUGUUUUGGAAACCUUUGUAAAUAAAGUAUGAUCAGAGUGUCCCUGCCUGUACCCUUGGGACUUGACAAAGGUAGUGAAUCUGUCAAACCAUGCUCUGGGAGACUGUUUCAGACCAUAUAUAGAUUUCUGGAGUUUACACACAUGCUGACCAAACUGGGCUUCAAAUCCAGGCGGAGGGCUCAUGUAGACUUCCUCUACGAGGUCUCCAUUCAAAAAGGCAUUCUUAACAUCCAGCUGAUAUAAAGGCCAAUCUUUGUUCACAGCAACAGAUAACAGAACUCUAAUAGUAUUCAACUUAGCAACUGGAGAAAAAGUUUCUGAAUAGUCAAUACCAUAGGUUUGAGUAAAUCCCUUCGCAACUAACCUUGCCUUGUGUCUGUCAAGAGUACCAUCAGCUUUGUAUUUGAGAGAGAACACCCAUUUGCAUCCCACAGUUUUGUGUCCCUUAGGUAGAGUACAAAUGUCCCAAGUACUAUUCUUUUCAAGAGCUUUCAUCUCUUCCAUGACAGCAUUCUUCCAUUCAGGAUACUUUAAAGCAGUGUAGAUAUCUUUUGGUAUUAUGGUAGAGUCAAGGCUUGCUGUAAAAGCUCUGAACUGAGGAGAGAGACUAUCGUAGGAAACAUAAUUGCAAAUGGGGUGUUUAGUACAAGACCUGGUGCCUUUUCUCAGAGCAAUGGGAAUGUCAAGAGAGGAAUCAUACUCAUCUGAUUUUCCUGUAUGACCCUGUUCCGCUUCAUUAUUACGGGUUUCUAUUCUGACCUCAAUCUCAUCACCACUGUCCUUUUCUUCCACGUUUUCAAGAACAGCAACAUUAGACCUGUCAUUCUCACUUAUCAUAUUCUUAGUACAGGGUUCAGUAGGGUUUUCCAUACCUUGAUCUCGAGGAGGUUCAGAGUCUUGGACUGGAGCCGGCGGCUGACUAGUAGGGGAACCGACUUCCUUUUUGUGAUUCCUCCUGUAGUACGUUUUCCAGGGGACUUGGUUUGUGGGUAGGACUAUGGAAUGAGGAAUGAUGUUAGACACGACACUAGGAGUGGGUUCGAUGAAUUCAAAGGUGUUGUUAGACUCUUCACUCACACUCUCCCCCUGAAGAUGGCUAACGGGAAAGUAGGGUCGAUCCUCACAGAAAGUAACAUCCAUAGUGACAAAGUAUUUUCUGGAUGGUGGGUGAAAACAUUUAUAACCACGCUGGUGAGGGGGAUACCCAACAAACACACAUGCCUGAGCCCGAGGGGUAAAUUUGGUUUGAUUAGGGCCAAAAUUAUGGACAUAAGCGGUACACCCAAACACACGAAGAGGAACCUCAGAAACAUGACGAGUCGAUGGGUAGGACUCCUUAAGACAAUCUAAGGGAGUUUGAAGAUGAAGAAUACGAGAAGGCAUUCUAUUGAUUAAAUGAGCUGCUGUAAGAAUAGCAUCUCCCCACAAGUAUGAAGGAAGGGAAGUAGAAAGCAUAAGGGAACGGGCUACUUCCAGAAGGUGACGGUUUUUUCGCUCGGCCACUCCAUUUUGUUGAGGAGUGUAGGCGCACGAGUUUUGAUGAACAAUCCCCUUGGAAGCAAGAAAUUCACUAAGGUUAUGGUUUUGGAAUUCCCGACCAUUAUCACUCCGAAGAAUAGCAAUUUUUUGAUGGAAUUGUGUUUCAAUGGUGUGAUAGAAAUUUUGAAACAUAGAGGAAACCUCAGAUUUAUCAGUGAUAAGGUAGACCCAGGUAAGACGGGUAUGAUCAUCAAUGAAGGUUACGAACCACCGUUUUCCAGAUGAGGUUGUUAUCUUGGAUGGUCCCCAGACAUCACUAUGAACAAGAGUGAAGGGUUGGGUUGGUUUGUAUGGUUGUGAGGGAAAAGAGACUCGAUGUUGUUUGGCCUGAAUACACACAUCACAAGAUAAGGUAGUCAUCUCAACUUUAGAGAAGAGAUGUGGAAAUAAAUGUUUCAUAUAUUGAAAAUUAGGGUGGCCUAAACGAAAAUGCCACAACAUACAAUCUUGUUCAGAAGUAGUGAAAUAGGAAGAUAAGAGACUAGUCCUAGGAAUGCUACUAGAAGAGGUAUCGUCAUCAAGGAGGUAGAGUCCCCUACUAUGCCGGGCAGUGCCAAUCAUCCUCCCCGAGCUCAAGUCCUGAAAAGAGACAGAAUCAGGUAAGAAUAUUGCUUUGCAGUUUAACUCAUGAGUGAUCUUGCUUAUCGAAAGCAAAUUAUAAGAUAGUUUGGGCACAUGCAAAACAUUAUGUAAGGAGAGCCCUGCACAAGGAGAAAUCUUCCCCUUUCCAGCAAUGGGGGCCAAGGAGCCAUCUGCAAUUCUAAUUGUCUCGUUCCCAGCACAAGGAAUGUAAGAUACAAAAUGUUCAGAGGACCCAGUCAAAUGAUCUGUGGCACCAGAAUCCAGAAUCCAGGGGUUCUUCCCAUCAAUACUAACAAGACCGAAGGAAUGAGGUAUACCUGAUUGGACAAUGGCACCUAAAGUGGCAAGACUGAGAUCAGUUUGGUUUUUGUGUGGAUCGGAUUGUUGAGGAGGUUCAGCAGACUCACUCACAUACGCCCGCCCUGUGUUCUGUUUGUCGUUGGAAGGGCGUUUCUUACUUCCUGGGGGACGACCAUGUAACUUCCAACAUUGUUCUUUGGUAUGCCAUUGUUUUUUGCAAUGCUCGCAGACAGGAAUUGGUUUUCCAUUAUGCUUGUCACUGCUACUGUUAGAAGAUCUUGCACUAAAAGCAGCAGAGUCAAUAGUAGGGGUUGCGGAAAUAUUCAUAGCACUUGUGCGAUCUUCCUCGAGGCGGAUUUCAGAGCAAACUUCCAUCAGGGAGGGAAUCGGUCUUUGACCUAGUAUACGCCCUCGAACUACAUCAAACUUAGGAUUAAGACCAGCAAGAAAGUCAUAAAUCCUGUCAUUCUCUUCAAUUCUCGAGUACUGUACACCAUCAGUGGGAUCACGCCAGACUAGUUCUCUGCAUAGGUCCAUUUCUUGCCAUAUAAGAGAAAGCUUAUUGAAAAAGGAUGUGACAUCCAUGGUUCCUUGCUUGCAUUCAUGAACUUGCUUUCUCAGCGUGUAUAGACGAGAGGCAUUCUGACGUUUUGAGUAAAGUGUCUGGGCUGUGUCCCAAAUAUCCUUGGCUGUUGCAGCAAACAAUAACGGCUUGCCAAUUUGAGGUUCCAUACUAUUGAUCAAUAUGGAUCGAAGAAUAGAGUCUUCUGCCUUCCAAUAUCGUUCAUGUGGGUCGCCCGGUAGGGGGCGAGGUAUUUCCCUGUCAGAAAGCUAAAUUUUUGUCGUCCUUCGAGGACCAUCUUUACUGACUGAGACCAUGAGAAAUAGUUGUUGCCAUUCAACUUUUCUCCUGAAAGAUGAUACAUGGAAGACUGAGCCACCGUAUUAGUCACAUAAGGAGAGGAUACAUUAGGGAACGAGUUUACCGGAUUCUCAGAAUACAUCGGUAGAGUGGAUGUCGUCCCUAAGGUAGCCUCAAGUGCUGCUAUCUGUUGUCGAAGCCCUUCCAAUUGUUGAUGAACUAUUCCCGAGGAAGCUUGCACGUUACGGUUGGAAUAUGCCGAAGAUUCACCAACCUCAAAUGUUGAGUGAAUUUGAGAGUUUUUAACAUCGGGAUGGUAGCUAGGAUCAUUGGGUGGCUGGCCAUACAGAUUUGACGAGCAGAAGCGGUGGUAGCCGAUUGGAAUUAGAUGGCAGAACAUAAAUCGGGGCGUGGGGAGCAAUAUAGGCCGCGGACGAAGAAAAGGGUUGGACAGAUGGGAUGGUCGGCGCCGUCUGAGGAAGAAAACCAGGCGCGUGGUGGUCCGGUGACGGCGCGGACGACUGCGGUAAUGACGAAAAAUUAUUUUCGGACGUUUUCUGUAGCCGGCUUAAUAAUUCGUCCAUGGCAGCACUCAUCCGAGCAUCGGUGGCAGCAGCUACGGCAGCACUAAAAUUGAUGGUUGUCCCUUCUGUUUGAUUUUAAUCAGUGGUUUGGUUUUUUUGGGUUUCUAGGGUGUUUUCAUUGUCCCGCUCUGAUACCAUAUUGAAAAGAGAGACAACGAGUUCACACCAAUUUACGUGGAAACCCGAAUACCGGGAGAAAAACCACGGUUGUUUGUUGUUAUUAUUUUCUAAUGAAUAAAACAAUAGGUACAGGGGAGAAUAAAUAGAGUACACAAUGGAAUAAAAAAGGAAAAGAUUUAGGAAAAUAAGGAAUACAUUCCCAUAAUCUUUCCAUAAUUGUUCUAGGAUUCUAACAAGGAAAAAGCCUAGAAAAAAAGGAAAGAAUUCCAACAGUUUUCAAGGUUUAAGAACACUUUUGGUCCCUGAGCUUUCACGAAAGUAAUAAUGUAUUUCCUAAACUUUAAAAUGCAAAAAUUUUGUCUAUUUACUUUCAACUUUGUAUGGACUUUAGUCUCUAUGAUGAAAGUGUUCAUUCAAAUUAAGUGUUAAUUUAUAUUACAUAAUGGCUUAGUCUUCAUAGUUUAUAUGUGAAUUUGAUCAUCAAUGAGUUAUAAACCUACCCGGGUAAGAAACUUAACUCAAUCACAAUAAUAAUUUCCACCAUAGAGAUUUGGUUCUUACUAAUUGUAAAUUACAAGAACUAAAUUGUUACAUUUUAAAGUUAAGGAACUAAAUUGUUAAUACAUUUGCAAGAAUGAGGACUAUCUUUUUGUUACCAACUAAAGUUGAGGGUCAAAAUCGUUAGUUUUAUGCUAGUUUAGGGACGAAAAGUGUUUUUUAAUUAUUCGCUACACAGAACUCAUUAUUGAAUUAUCUUAUUCUUAACAGACAAAUCUGUUCAUGAUAUCGGCUCGACAAAAAUCACCAAGCAUGUCGUGCCAACACAUCACAGGUUGGUUUCUUGACUAAAUGAACCUAAUUUUGUUUGUUAUUUCCCCACGAACGAUGGUAAACAUACUGUAGCAUUGUACUUGAGCAGGGCAAGAACACGAGGUGCCCUUCUGCAAGAUAACGAAGAUGACGAUGGAAGGUAAAAAAAACAAGACAGUUUCAAAAUGUUGAGUCCUUGUGUUCAAAACUAGUGUUAGACAUGGAGUAGGUAAACAAAAUAAUAGAUAUGAUUGUGCAAUGCAGACAUUUCUUUGUUGUAUAUGAUUACGUAAUUCUCAUCUAACUUUGGCUUUCUGCUCAAUUUAGAUUCGAAAAUGUGUAAAUUUUCGAAUGACGAGUAGAUACAAAUUUGAAAUAUAUUGUGCAGCUUAAAACAAGUCACAGUGUGAGACUUUUCAUUAAUUUCUCAAACAAAUCAGCACUUGUUGACAACUUUAUAUUACCAUAUGAGUUAGCUUGAAAAAUAUUAUUAUUAUUAUUAGAAUGUAGAACACAUUUUAAUUUCCAAUAUAUCACGUUCUACAAUUUUUUAAACAUUUAUUUUCAAAACUCUUGACUUUUCUUUAGAAAAAACCAAAAGCUUUUGUUCCAAUAUAUCAGGUUGUAGUCUUUGGCCCUUGAAUUUUGUUAACAUUUAUUUUCAACUAUAUUGACUCUUUCUUUAGAAAAAAUAAAAAAAAAAUUCAAACGAUUACCGAUAAUAAAAAUAGAUAAAGAUAUAAUUUGAAAGAUAUUUAUGAAUAAGUUUAUGAGUAAAAAUAGAUAAAGAUAUAAUCUAAAAGUCGUAUCAUUAAUAAAAGUUUAUCAAAUCAAAAAAUUUAUUACGAAAAAAAAAUAUAGAUAAUCUAACGAAGAGGGAAUCCAAAAAUGAUGAUGUAAAAAGGAAUGAAAAAGCAUUAUCCCCACACUUUAGUUUCUCGUACAAUGAGAACCAUCCAAAUUGUGACAAAGACAGAAAUGAGAUAAGCACAAACCACCAUUAUUGCAAUACAACAAUCAACUAAACUCAAACUCACUCACUCACCUAGACACAACUUUUAAUGCACUCUUUUUGAAAAAGCUUUCCCAAACAAAAGAAGAAGAAAAAAAAACUUAUAUAAUGUGUUGUAUACAAAUUAUUUAUGUUUAUAUGCAGAGUUGCAUUCAUGAACCACUGAUAUAUAGUGAAACUGAUAUGAGUUGUAACUUUUGUAGUUCUAUUUCAUUGGUGCCUCAUAUGGAAGUGGUGGUGAUUGGUGGGUCAUAUACUCAUUAAGAACAAAAAUAAUAAUAAAUCAAAUGAAAAAGUUACUUUUUACUUUUUAGAAAAAGCGAUUGCAAAUGACUAAGUAAUGGAGACAUUGAUAGGUCUAUCAAUAUAUUUAUAUAUAUUAGGUGAGGCAAUUGGAUUAGAAUGAUAAAAUAGCAACUUUUAUCCAAUCAAUUACUUUAUAAAUGUUAAAAGAAGAACGAAGAAAGAGUUGUUUUUCAAAUUAAGCAACAUAAACUCUAUAUUUUGACAACAAAGUUAAAAAGAUAACUUUAUAUUUUUCUUCUUCUUUUAUAAAGAUAUGAUUGAACAUACACCAUUUCAGGAGGUGUCGGUGUCCACUAACAUUAUGCCCAUCCCAUGGUUGCUUUCAUUUCAAAAGGAUCAAAAUUUGGAUAUGAACUCUUACAUUUUGCCUUUUGGUGUUACCUAACUUUUCUUUAAUUAAAAUUAAAGUGUGUUUAGUUUGGAGCAAUUCUAUGUUCGGUGACUUUUUGAAAAUUUUCUUAGAAUGGAUGUGAGUGAAAACAAAACAUGCUGAAAUGACUCUAAUUGGUUCGUGGAACAACUUUCACUCUAAUAAGUCUUUAAGACAAGUAAGAAUGAUAUUGUCAAGUCGCAAGUAAUUAGACGUUACAGAUAUAUAGUUUUAUUUAUAUAUAAACACAUAUCUACAUUAGUGAGGGUCAUACGUUUUACAGAGUGUUUGUAUUUACUCAGUAACACUAAUAUCAUUUUCACACAUUUAAAUUUAUGCACGUUAUAGAUUUUAUUAGGUAUGUAUACAACUUAAUAACACUAGUAAGUAUAAUGUUUUGUUGGUGUAUAUACAUAUAUACAUAAUACGUCUACGUUUUUGCAGAUUAUUGAUUUAGUAACUUUCUUUGGGUGAAUUCAAUUUGUUUUUUUUUGUAACAAAACUAAAUUGUAAAGUCUAGUGUUAGAAAGUAUGGUUUCUCUCCUUCACCCUUUGUUUAAUAAUUUUAAUAAUUUUAAGUUUUAAUAGAUUGUGUUCAUAUUAAGACGAUGGCAUAAGCAGAGUUGGGUGUGGGGCACCGCCGUCACCACCACUACCAAUCUUCAACAAAUCACUUUAACGACGUAUGGGUAAAGGCAGUUAGUAUUAUUGGGUUAAUCAAUUUUAAAUACAUCUUGUACCACUAAAUUCUUUUACUUUAUUAUCUGUUUUUUACCAAACCAAAUCUUUCUUACACUACAAGAGUUUUUUUUCUUUUUCUUUUUUAUCUUUAUAAAAAAAAUACAAACCAUCAUAAUAAGAAAUUAAGAAAGAAGUAAAAGUUAAAAAUCAAAGGUUAAUCAAACGGAUCUUCAAUGUUGAGCUAUUACCAUUUAUAUCCACGAUUUGUUUAAAUAAUAUUUAAAUUCUAAGUCUUCAGUCAUUUUGUGAUUGAGUAAUUUUUAAUAUCAUCCUUCAGAAAAGAAAAGGAUUAGGAUUAGGAUUGUCCUAAUGGGAGUGGGAGUGGGAGUGGGGAGUAGAGAAUUUUGUGAGGAUGAAGAUGGGAUAGGGGGGCGGGGACGGGGAUCGGUAGUGGCAUCCCCGGCCCUCCUCGUCCCGUGGACAUCUCUACUCCUCAUCCCCGUCCCUCACCAUUAAUACCGCGCAUAAGGAGUGAUCCAUUUCCGAUAACGAAAAUCGUGCGUGGGGAAUGGUCCCAACGCUCGACGCGCAAGUGAAACCGUCGUGUGUCGAGUGAUGGAUCUUACAAGGUGGGUGGGAGGGGACGGGGGGGGGGGGGGGGGGGGGGGGGGGAAUAUUUAUAAUUUUAAUUAAGAAGGAUAGAUAUUGAAGAGAGGAAUGAGAAAUUAGAAUGAAAUCAAAACAUUAUAUGGUAGAUGAAACUUAACAUAAAUCAAAGCACAUAGAAACUAAAUAGAAGAGAGAGAGAGAGAGAGAGUUGGAUGAAUUCAUUUGUUGGUGGUGGAGGAUGAGUUGGCGGCGAUGCCGAAGUUGCCUGUGGAGAGAAAUUGGUUUUUGAGUGCGCUCCUCGACGCCGGAUAUUGAGAAGAAUAGGAAUAACCCGGAUAUGGAGUAGUACAUGGUUUCGAUUUCCGUUCGGCGCCGGACUUCAUUUUUUCUCCGUCUUUGUCUUUUGAUUUUUGCUUAUCGCUUCUCUCACUCAUCUUUUCCCCUUUCAUAAUAUUAUCUUCCACCUUCCAAAUAAUAAUAAUUGAGCUUGAGCCACCCACGCAUUUAUAACCUUAAUUUUACACGUGUCUUUUUCUUUUUACUCUUUUAAAUUUUCCAUAAAAUUACAUAUUCUAUAUACAGCUUACCUUCAUAAACCCUAUCUACUGUUGAAUCACUUUAUCUUUACUAUUUAGGAUAAUUUUCUAUAAUCAUAAAGGCAGAUGAAAUUUUAAUUUGGUUGCUAUGAUUCCAAAAAAAUAUAAU